ACGAGGACAACUUCGACGCCACCAGCAACCUUUCCGUUAUAAUCAACCCCACCACCAAGAAAACCAUCACCGACUACGGUUCCCCUGAGGAGUUCCUCUCCCAGGUCGGCUUCCUCCUCGGCCAGCAGUCCUACGGCGGCAAGACCGACUCCGAGGUCUAAUAACUCCUUCNUUCUUCUUCUUUGUCGCACCUCCAAUCCAUACAUUCCCUAAGUGUGCUGACGAUGUGAGGAUGCAGGGCGGCUUCGAGUCAGACGCUGUGGCGACGGCCAACGUGCUCGAGAGCUCGGCGCCGGUGGUGGACGGUAAGCAGUACUACAGCAUAACGGUGCUCACCAGGACCGCGGACGGAGACGAGGGAGGGAAGCACCAGCUCAUCACCGCCACCGUCGCCGACGGCAAGCUCUACGUCUGCAAGGCGCAAGCCGGAGACAAGAGGUGGUUCAAGGGCGCCAAGAAGUUCGUCGAGAACGCCGCAGGAUCCUUCAGUGUCGCAUAAAUAUACAUGACCGAUCGGCGAAUUUAAUGGAAUCUCCUCAGGGAAGCACCGUGUAGAGACCGAUCCAGGGCAUGCAUGUGUGUUUCUUUGAUUUGUACAUGAGGAUGGAUGAACUAAGAGGUCGAUUUCCCUCAAGGAUUCAUGUGUGCACAAUGAUUAAGAAAUCUUAGUAAUAAUGUUUCAUUUUUGUAUCUCCUUAUCUUUGUUGGCAGCGCUUCAGUUUAGUGUUGUGAAGAAUGUUUUCUCAGUCUGCUCCCUCCUAUCAAAAGCGAGUACCCAUACAAAGUUGGGUGGUUUUGCUAAUCCUCAAUUGACUGAAAUGUAAAAUCACACAAGUCGAUUUCGUGAAGUACAGAGGUAGCGCACAAGGUUGAAGAGGAGGGUGACGCGGCAAAACAACGAUGACGCGCAGGGUAGCCAAUGGAGGGUCAUCCGCCGGGGUGUGUAGAGACUAGAGAGUAGAGACCAGUCAAAAAAAAUUGCGAUCCACACACUUUCUAUACCGGCACUAAACUUAUGGGUUGACUGACAGUCUGACAUACUUCAUAUUCAGUCUAAAUUUGAGAUGGAUAUUAAAAGGUAUGAUAUGUCCGUCAUAUCCGUUCAUCGUAACCUCAUAUAUAUUUGUACGUUCAUCAUAAACCUCAUAUAUAUUUGUAUACAUCCGUUCAUCACACUAAACCUUGCCACUCCACCCCGCUCCGUUUCACCCUAAGCUCCCUUCUGGCGAUCUAUGGCCCUAUCCGACAUAUGACGGGUAGCGAACCAAACUCCUUCGUAAUCUCAUUUAGGGACUAGGAUCUCAUCCUAGUCAGGUCCGAGGAGGAGAUGACCGUCCGCACUGCGGACCGCGCUCCACUGCGCCCACGGGGAGAACGUUCGACAGCGGUCGAACUCGAUCGGCGAGGACACAUAGCGUCCGCCCAAAUGGCGCUCAGAUCCGGCGCGAGGCGCGGUACCGCUGCCUCGUCGAAAGAGAUGUGGUCCGUCUCGCGUCAAAACACCAUGGUGUACAUGCACGCCCUUGGUUUGCACGCCGACUUGGAGGUCUUAAAUGGCCUUUCCACUAAUGCUAUGGUGUUGCAUGCCCGCCAUACGAGACAGAGGAGGCGCGAGGCCGCGACAGCCCUCACAACAAAUGUGUGCGAGGCGGAGUGUGAUACGUCCACUUUGCAUCAUUGAUCCUUACUAUAGUUUAUCUUGGUUUCAUGAUAUAUUUCACAUUAUGGUGUAAUUCUAAUACAAUUUCUCUCUCAUAACGCAAGUUUAACUAAUAGAGGGGGAUUACUCGCAGGUGGAAUUCUGGACCUAAAAUAGCAAGAGAAGAGAAAACACUUUUCGAGAGCUCAAAACUAAGUGUGGAUUUUUGGAUAAAUAUUUUAAAAUAUAUAAAGAAUAUUGAAGCACAGGAGCACCAUGGGAACCCACGAGACAACCACAUGACCAGGUGGUGCGCUGGCCGCUCCACCUGCCCCUGUGAUACCAUGGGAGCUCACCUCCCGAUGCCCUUCGGUCAUAAAUUCUCUUUUACCUUGAAAACAUCACUGAAAAUGCCCGGGACUAUCUACCACCGUAUGCGAGGCGAAACUUGGCCGGAGCAGUUAUGCUCCCCGACGGAGCGAUUCUGUCGGGGAAAUUUUCCUCUAGGAGGGAAAAAUCGAAGACUUCAUCAUCACAAACACUACGUUCAUCGUGGGGAUCAUCAUCUUAAUCAGCACUACCUCAUCUGUAAACCAUAGCUCAUUUGUUGUGCUAAAUAUUUGUAUCAAACCUCACAUUGGUACCUAGGGUUUCUUAUAGAGUUGAGUACAUCUUCUAUUUGAUGUUUUUUGGUUUAAUUGGUGGAAAUUUGUUAUGUUCAAAUCAUUAAUCAUAUAUUUAUACCCACUAAUCAUGGUCAAUAUGGUUCCAUUAGUUCUUAAGGAUGUGGGAGAAUUCUUGUUACUAUUAAUAAUGUGAAGUUGAUGCCCGUUCUACGUUUUGUAUUAUGGUGUGUUGUUCUUCCUCUACUAGUGUUAUGUGAAUGUUAACUACUUGACACUUUACUAUCUUUGGAGCUAGGGGGGCAUUGUGGAAUUAUUUUGUGGAUGAUACCUUGCGGGAGUGAUAGAAACCUACACCCUAGUUUGUGAAUGAUCCCAUAAGGGGUUGUUUUGGAUCCAAUUGUUUAGUGUUAUGGUUAGAUUUAUUUUAAUUACUUCGCUUAUAGUUACGAAUUCUUGCGUGGAGAGUAUAAUCAUAAGUAUUUGUUGAUUUUUUCAAGUUCGGACAAUACCUUAGCGAAGGGCCACCCACAUAACACUUCUCAAGGCAUUGAACGUAAUUCUAUGAAUCAUGGUGAAAGUAACUUGGGGAUAUUUGCUUGUAUCCCCAAGAGCGUUUUAGUCACUAUACGAAAUACCAACCACCUGUCCUUAGGACAAUUAAGGAUGGGGCCACUUGGUGCACCUUGCUAUCUUUGUUACUUGUCACCUUGUUAGAGAUUAUCUUAUUAUCAAAUUAUCUAUGAAAACUAUUUGACAACACUUACAAUAAACCUUGUUGAAAACCGCCUAUCAAUUUAUUCUACUCCUACUUGUGGGUGAUCAAGACUCUUCUCUCAAGCCGUUGCCAAGGACUGUAGCGCUCUUGGUAAGUGACAUUCGAUAAGGAAAGUUUUUAUCGUACAUGGUGAUUUUUUUGCACUUGUUAUUAUGGAAAAUAAUCCUUUGAGAGCCUUCUUUGGAGUGCCCUAACCACGUGCACAAUGUUAGGAAACAUAGUAAAAACAAAAAAAUCACCCUACAAUCAACUAGGAAUACUAUGAAGAUACAAUAAUGGGUGGGAUCACGAUCGCUACCGUCACCGAGUUGCAACGAAAGAAGAACAUGAUGAUGUAGAUCAUACUUGGAGUCCCUUGAGCCGUAGAUGAACGAUCGUGCGAACCACCCAUGAAUGAUCCCUCAAACUGAAGACCGAAAGCACGACCUCUCUACUUGGUUUCGAGCGUAGGAUCUUCAUGAUCCGACAAUGCUUCACCGUCCAGAGCUAAUCGUCGUCAUAGAAUGAGAAGGAGGAGAUUAGAACAACACAUGAAUUCUAAUUAUAAGGAUUAGACAAACUAGACCUAGAUCUACUUAGUCAACUAGAACUAGAAAAACUAGAGGAGACUCCAAAACUUGUGUAUAAAUAGGAAAGGAAUCCUCGAGUAUAUAUAGGUUGGAGGGGAGAGUAGGGGCGCCACACAAGGAGGGACAGAGCUCCCCCUGAAUCUGGCCAACUGAGGAAGAGUUGGAUUCCUCCCCCAUUCCAAUUCAGUCCCCCAUAAGGAAGGGAGCCAACUCUACUUGGGUAGUUAUGGCCCAAGUUGCCUUCCAUCUCUUGGCCUUUUAAGGGCCGUUGAUAUUUAAUUAUUUAUAAAAGCCUUCUAAAUAUUUUCAAAACCUUUUAUAUAUAAUUUAGUAUCAUCAGAAACAUUUUCCACCUAUGCAUUAUUUAUCGUAAUAACCGGUAUUACCCGGUACAUUGCGAAACCCUUUUGAUGACCCUGAAAUGCUUCUGGAUCCUCUAGAAACUAUUUCAAAUAUUAAUAAUUUUUUUAACAAAUAUGUUGUCAUUAGUCUCGUAUAAUUAACACUCAAAAGAUCUUGAUAACUUGGGCUUCUGAUCUCUUAGUUUCGGUAACUCCUAGACAUGAAUGAUACUCCUUCGUUCAAUGAAUGGUAGCAGAACUGUGGACGUAAAUAUCGAUCCCUAUGAGUACACAAAUGGUAUUCGAGUGAACCUUUGGUUAUCAUGUGACAUUCCCUUUGCUUAGCAAUAUUGUACUAAACCCGGGAUGCAUCGGUGUCCUCCUCAGUCAUCUGAUGCUCUCUAUACCGUUAUCAUCUUUACCAGGUUUGUUCUUCUUUCUAGUUUUCAUGUUUUGACAUCCCCGUGAAAUAGUCACGUGUGUCUGGACAGACGAUGAUGGAUGUUCUCAUACCGAGAGGGCCCUAGGAAUAUACCUCCAUCAUCUAAGGAGAAAAUCCUCCCCUCGAGCUAUCUAGUCCCUUGUCAAACUUUUCGAGGAACCUGUAAGUUGUCAUUAUAAUCAGCUAGCUACAAAUGACGUUUGAACGACCACAAAGCUCAUCGUAUUGUCAGAAGUGACUACGGUACUCUCAUGGUCAAUGAAAUAUAAAACACAUGUGUAACACUCUAUGUUAUAACAAUUGGUUUUACAUGAUAUUAUCUCAAAGUAUAACAAACAAAUUUUUGGGUCGAUUUAAUAUGGCUGUUCUUCUAACGUCAUAGUCUCAAUGUUGCUUUAGGACUAUCAUUACUGUCGUGGUUUUGUCACGGCAGAUAUCCUUGUGAGACAACUUUUGGUGUGAGGCAAUCACAACUAGGUGGUAGCUUGAACGGGGCUCGUCGGAAUUGAUAGACGCGACUUUUAUCGAGGUUCGGCCCCUCACGGUGGAGGUAAAAGCCUACAUCCUGCUUGAUUGAUAUUUAUGAUGUUGAUGAUCUUGAUUACAAGGGUACUAUUUUGCUACCUCUAGUCUCGAGAUGUUCUAGUAUGAUCUCGUCUAAGACUUGUCUGUCUAUCCCGACUUAACCUUUUUCCCUUCAGGUGCCUAGCCCCUCCUUAUAUAAGUUGAAGGGCUAGCUUACAUGCAGAAUUCUAGUAGGACUACAAAUAGUCUCUUUUGUAUUACAAGUUGAAUCCUAGUCUCGGCCCUGUUUCCCUUGUGAGGGAACCUUUCCUCUUCUUAGACCUUCUUUGUGAGUCGGCCCUCUAGGGCUCUUCACGAGUUAGCCUUCUGCGGGGUUGCACACUGGGCCUUAGUCCUUGUUAUACAGGCCGACCCGGUAAGCGAGGUGACCCAUGAGCCGCCAAGCGAGUCGGGCCCCUCAGACCAGGGGUACCCAGGCCCGUCAGCCUGCGGCCCCGGGUGCGACGCGGCGGGAUAAGCCUGGGUCAUCCCAUCGGCGAUCCCGACAAGUAGAACCCUUGCGAGGGUGUGUGCCUCGCGAGGCGAGGGCUUGAAGAUCGUCGCCCAUGGCCUCGAGAAGGUGUCUGUGGCGAGGUUGUCCCCUCAGGACCCCGCGGAGCAAGCCCGCCGAGGGCGAAUUAGUCAGGUCCCACGACCUAGCUCCUUUACGUGGAUAAGGCACACCGCGCAGGCAGCGUAGGAGUAGUGCCAACGAUUGUGUACACGGGGUUUCCCCUGCCAUUCUAAGUAAGCCGGGACAGCUGGUGUGCCCCAUAAGUGACUCCCAAAGGUUCCGGUUUGGUGCAAAGAGACUAAAGCCCUAGGAUUCGCGGGACGGAUGUCAUCCCCGGUCCUGCUAGCGCGUCAUGAAGAGAAGCUUUUGCACGCGAAGACCACCUUUGUCAGGGCGGACUGUAGUCAUGUCCUCUUUCAAAAAAGGCCAUUUUAGCAACCCUCCCCGCCAAUAUUUUCGGGGGGAAGAGGACCAAGGCCCGUAUAUAGGAGAGGCCCGACCACCGUAGAAGGGGAUCCAACCUCACCCCCAAGCUAUGGCAAGAACCUUCCUUUGUGCCUGUCCACCUCAAGCAAUCCCACCACAAGCAGGACUAGGGUUUUACACCAGAAGGUGGCCCAAACCUGGGAAAACUACCGUGUGUUCGAGUUUAUCUUUCUAGAUCGCGCUACCGUAGGACCGUCGUGAAGCUAAGAGGUUGAACAUGCUUGGAAAGCGAGCGCACCCCAGUGUUCGAACUUUUCAUUGGGUCUGUGGAGCCCCGAUUCUGACAUUUGGCAUGCCAGGUAGGGGGUGCGCAGCCGCUCUUCCACUCCGGUUUUGCUCCAGCUUCACCGACCCCACGACUGAUGCCCGCUGCAUGCGCCCCGGGAGCUCUGCACCAGACGGCAGUUACUGGCCCUCUAGCUUUGCGGCCACCAUCGUCUUCGCCCCUGCAGCUCAUGGGCAGCAGGGCUUCGAGUGGGCACCGGCGCAUCAAGGAUGCCGCCCUGCUACGCCCCCGUGGACUCUGCUUCGGCAUGCAUUCAUUAGGGGACCUGAACGCGCAAAACGCACUGCUCACGAAGAGCGAGCUGCUCCGCCACUACCCGACGGACGGAGGAUACGGCACAUGGACGGACCAUGUCGCUUAACUCGUCGCCAUCGCUAGGAGGGCCUUCGCGUCCUAUGCUCCACUUUGACCCCCACCGUCGAAGGCAGGGGGCUCGACCAGCAGUCUCAGGGGCCCGAGCAGGCCCUGCCUCAUGUCGUGUUCCUUCUCCUUAGGGUCCCAAUGACUGUCCUCGGGCCUCAGCCAGCCCCCAACGGCCAUGCACAUCGUAAGGCCGACGACAAGUUCUGCGCCCUCCACAACACGCACACCCACAACACAGAGGAUUGUGAGGCGGUCAAGAUCCUCAACCGCAAGCACGCUGCUCGGCAUCGAGACCGUGUCGUAUCCACCGACCGUAGAGGAGACGUCGGUGCCCACGCCCGUCGACCCCGUGGCGAUGGGGGAAGCAGCCAUCCCUGAGAGGCUGCACGGCAUGGAUCCCCCCGCGACAGCCGCCACCCGGACGGUGCCGCCGUGCCAUCGUGCCAAUGACCCGUGGGCGAGUGGGGUGUCAGACUAAGCGCUGGUGUCAAGGCCUACGUGCCGCAAGACGUCACCCUCUUUCCCCCGGUGUGAGGGGUAUGUCGGGCGUCACCGUCAAAUCGGGCUUGGGGGCUCCUGCCUAGGGCCGCCAGGCACGGCCAGGGCGAUCGGAAGGCGCCUAGAGGCCCACGAGGAUGCACCUUGAUGCGCGCCCCCACGGGCAAGGAGAGAGGCGACAAGCGUCGGAGUCAUGUGAGUUCGCCGUUCAAGAGCCCAGCAGGCUGCAAGGGAAGCGAGGCGCGUGUGCCUCACGAGGUGCCAUGAUUCCUUGGGCUCGAGAAGCUUUCGUGACUAGCAGCCUCAGGAUCCUGCCGUCGCCCUCCGGCGGGGUAGUUCCCGGUGGCACAUGACUUCAGGCGGAUGGACGCGCCCAUAACGAUCGAGCCGUCGAGUGUAUUUUUGGAUCAACCAGGUUAAAAUGGUCCCUUGAAUUUUGUACUUCUCCGAAUAAGUGUUUCCUAAAUAUGUGACGAACCUGAUUGAUUUUCACUUGGAAUGGUGUUGUUUGCUUUAAGUGCUAAGCUUUAGUGCCGAGCUGCUGUCUCGCGGACGGACUCCACACGACAUGUGGAGCGCGGCUGUCCUCGCGCGAGGGUCAAGGGAGCGAUAAGCCGGUGUACGCGCUUCCUCGUCGAGCGAUAGGAAGCGUUGGAGAAGAAUCUCGUAGGCAAGGACCCCCCAGGGGCUCCCAUGUCUCUAGGCUGUACGCCGCGCACCUGGAUACGGAGGUUGGCGGUCCCAUCAGACUCGCACAUAGCCCCAGUCUAGAUGCCACGUGCCUGAGGAGUGAGGGUGGGGCCCCCAAAAGACAAUGCAAGUCCUCAGGCCCUGCGCCACAUGCCAGGGGACACGAGGAGGGAGCUUGAAGCCAGGCACGUGGAGGCCAACCCGUGACCCUCUCACGUAAUAACAGGGGGCUGUAAACACCCGGGGGGACUCUCGUGCGUAACACCACAACGAUUCGCGUCGUGGCGGCGGUAGGUCCCCCCUCCCACAUCUUACUGCAAGUCCUCACGCUCCGCGCUAGGGAAGAAGCCCAUGACGCUCUCACAUAAUAAUGAGGGGCUGUAAACGCCAAAGGAUCUCUCGUGCGUAACCCCACUAUGAGCCGCGUCAUGGCAGUGGUAGGGGGUCCCUCCCACCUCUUAGUGGAAGUCCGCAUACUGCGCACUAGGGAAGAAGACGAAGCAAACACCCCGGGGUCCCUGUUUCUUUUUAAGUUUACCCAUACUGAAUACGACAACCUCUUUCUUUCUAAGGUUGACCCGUACUGAAUCCGGCAGCUAUUUUCAUUCACCUUUCUUUUCGUCCUGCGAGCGAGCUUGCCAGGCUGAUCCGUGUUGAUGCGGCAACCACACAUCUCCUUUUUAGGCUCGCAAACAAGUUAGCUUUGGAUUUUCUAGGGAAGGUCUUGGUUUUUCUAGUUUUUAUGGAGCUCCCUUGGUUUUUUUCUCUUAUCAUGCCCAUGUGCAAGCGGAUACGCCAUAAUGCAAGCGGGCGGGUCUGCGCCAUCAAGGCUCGGUGUUUUUCUCUCUCCGCAAGACUUCUCGUGAGGGGCCUCACGAGGAGGGUGAUGAGCUGCCCCCGUAGGUGCGAGCACCAGAGAGUCGUGGGCUGGGCCCUGGGGCCACAACGCAUCAAAGCGGCCGCCAGAGGAGACGACGCAAAGGAAGGGGAAUCGGUUUCCUGAAGCACCAUCACCCGGCAGCCCAGGCAGGGCCAUCUCGAGGGUACCAACCUUAUGAGACUCGCUUGAGCAAUCGCAGCCGAGGGAACACGAAGUUGGACAACGCCCAGGGGCUGUCGGUCCGCGUCCCAAGAGCGCGGCGGGGUGAGUCCUUAGGAGAUGUGUGCGAUGGGCUCUCGCUGGUCGAGGCACAGACUACGCGCGGGAAAAGGGGGAAGAACAUUGAAGAAGCAACAAAUAUGCACGAAGCUCAGCACACAACCAUUACUUGGGACAAAGGUAAAUUACAAAAUGUCUAACGCCCUCAUGGGGCCAAGGGUUCUUUGGUGCGGCACAUAAAGGCUGAGGAAGCUCAGGCGGAGGAGGCACCGUCCUUGUCAUGGUCCUCGAUGGCUGCGGUACUGACGUCGCCGCCCCCCUCAAGAGGCACCGCCUCGGUAAACGACCCGACCAAGGGCUCAAUGUGUGUGCGUAGCUCGUCCCCGAGGGGGCAUCAGAGCUCCGCAGGAACUGGUCCCUCGCAUGGGAGAGGUCAAACAUGGGAUUGUGGCGGCGCAGGUUGGAGGAAACGCACGUCAGCGCAUUGCCCAGAAGGUCGCGCGCGCUGGGCUCAGCGUCCUCCUCGACCUUGGAAGCACCCGACUCCAGCGCCUCCACCACCACGAGGAGAAAGUCAGGGUGGCCCCCAUCGCCAUAGGCUUGCGGCAGCAUGGGGACGUCCCUGAUGAAGCGGUGAAGUGUGGCGCCUGCACGCAGGGCCAACUCCCGUGACCGUUAGGCGCGCCACUCCUCCAUGUGGCACGCAUGCGCCGCCGUGCACCGAACGUGCACCGCGUUGUCCAUGGCGGCGUCAGCAUCGUGAGCGACUUCAUCGACCUGGGCCAGGAGCAACUUCACCUCCUCCUUGGCCUCUCCCUCUCUUAUGGAGGCGGCAUCCAGAGGAGCUUGGGCACCUUGCGGGUGGGCCUGAGUGCGUUUUCUUCCUCUUGGAGCGCAUCGUACUUAAGCUCGAGGAAGGCCUCCCGCUUGGAAAGCUUGCCGUGGUACUCCUUCGGGGCUAUCUCUCACUCGUGAGCCACCCUCGCGUUUGCACCGGCCAAGGCCUCAUCGCGCGCCGCCACGAGGGCGACCUCGCCGGCAAGGAUGCGCCUCUCCAUGGCCUCGAGGCAUUCAUGCUCCGCCUCCUGGUUGUGGGUGAUCUGGGUGGCCACCCACCCGCAAUGGGGCACGAUUGCCUCCCACUUGUGUUGGGGAACGUCACAUGGGAAACAAAAACAUUCCUACGCUCACCAAGAUCAAUCUAUGGAUCCUAACAUCUAUGAGAGGGGGUGCAUCUAUAUACCCUUGUAUAUUGCUAAGCGGAAGCGUACAUAUAAUGUGAUUGAUGUAGUCGUACGUCUUCAUGAUCCAAUUGCAAUCCGUCCCGAUCUAGUGCCGAACGGACGACACCUCCCUGUUGAGCACAUGUACGGCUCGAUGACGUCUCCUCCUUCUUGAUAGAGCAAGAGAGGAAGGAGAAGUAGAUGGGAUGUCAAGCAGCACAACAACAUGGUGGAGAUGAUGGUGGGGUGAUGUCCCACAAGCGUAUGGGAUCGCAUCAGUUUUCGAGGGUAGAGUAUUCAUCCCAAAUUUAUUGAUUCGCCAAGACGGGAGGCGAAAGAAUAUUCUCAAGUAUUAGCAGCUGAAUGUGUCACAUUCAACCACACCUGCAAGAUUAGUGUCUGCAAGCAAAGCAUGAGUAGCAAGGUAGUAUGAUAGCAAUGGUGCUAGAAACAAUCUGUUGACACGGCAGACUAUUCCUAACUGUUGUAUCAAUGGCGCCAGCACGUUGACGGGGGAUUAUUCUUGAGAAGAAUACUUCCCCGGCUACGGCUUCAACAAAGUAUUGCAACAAGUAACAGCGGAGUAGUAAGGAACAGCAGUAGCAUGAGCAGCAAAGUAACAAGUAACAACAGUAGUGACAGCAGCAGCAAAGUGACCCAAUCCCUUUUGUAGCAAGGGACUAGCCUAGGCAAAGUAACGUAACGAGAACCAGUAGUAAAAGACUCGUAGGAAGUGGAUCGGUGAUGGAUGAGUAUGAUGGAUGUGAUUCAUCAUGUAACAGCUAUAACACGGAGAGAUAUGUAACUAGCUCCCGUUCGUCAAUCUAAUGUAGGCAUGUAUUCUGUAUGUUGUCAUACGUGCUUAGGGAAAAGAACUUGCAUGACAUCUAUUGUCCAUCCCUCCCGUGGCAGUGGGGUCCUAAUGGAAACUACAGGAUAUUAAGGUUCUCCUUUUAAUAAAGAACCGGACCAAUGCAUUAACACGCGGUGAAUACAUGAAAUCCUCAUACUAUGGUCAUCUCCAGGAGUGGUUCCGGCUAUUGUCACUCCGGGGUUGCCGGGUCAUAACACAUAGUAGGUGACUACAACUUGCAAGAUAGGAUCUAAAACACACAUAUAUUGGCGACAACAUAAUAGGUUCAGAUCUGAAAUCAUGGCACUCGGGCCCUAGUGACAAGCAUUAAGCAUAGCCAAGUAGUAGCAACAUCGAUCUAGAACAUAGUGGAUACUAGGGAUCAAUCCCCGUCAAGAACUAACUCGAUUACAUGAUAGAUCUCAUCCAACUCAUCACCGUUCAGCAAGCCUACGAUGAGAUUACUCAUGAACGAUGAAGAGCAUCAUGGAAUUGUCGAUGGAGGAAGGUUGAUGAUGACGAUUUCCCCUCUCCGGAGCCGAAAACGGACUCCAGAUCUGCCCUCCAGAUCAAGAAUAGGAUGUGUCGUCGCCUCCGUAUCGCAAAACGCGAUGAAACCUUCUCUCUGAUUUUUUUCCAGGCAAAACGGAAGAUAUAGAGCUGAGAUUGGGGGCGGUGGUGCCACGUGGGCCCCACAAGCCUGCAUGGCGCGGCCAUAGGGGGUGGCCGCGACCAGUGGGCUUGUGGCCCGCCGGCACGCCCCCUUCGGUGGAUCUUUGCGCGUGUAUUUUUCUUUUAUUCCAGAAAAAAUCUCCGUAAAUUUUCAGGACGUUCCGAGAACUUCUAUUUCUGCAAAAACAACACCAUGGCAAUUCUGCUGAAAACAACGUCAGUUCGGGUUAGUUCCAUUCAAAUCAUGCAAAUUAGAGUCCAAAACAAGGGCAAAAAAGUUCGGAAAAUUAGAUACGACGGAGACGUAUCAACUCCCCCAAGCUUAAAGCCUUGCUUGUCCUCAAGCAACUCAGUUGACAAACUGAGAGAGACAAAAGAAAAACUUUGACGAACUUUGUUUGAUCUUGUUGUUGCAACUAUGUCUAACUCACAACCGGAAUUUCAGCAAGAUCACAAUCAAACCACAUAAGCAAAUGACAUCUAGGUCUCACGGUAAACUCAUAUCAAUGUCCUAAUCAACUAGCGAGCAAAUAAUAAUAAGCCUCAAGUGUCAACACUUCAAUCAAAACAACUUGAAGCAGUACAAAUAGAUGGUAUCUCGCUAGCUCUUUCUGUGACCGCAAAACAUAAAUGCAGAGCACCUUAAAAGACCAAGGGAUGACUAAACUUGUAAUUCAAGGCAAUGAAGAUCCAGUCAUAGUCAUACUCAACACAGUUAAAAGCAAAGCAUAAAAAUGACAGAGGUGCUCUCCAAUUGGUGCUUUUGUAAGAGGAGGAUGACUCAACAGGAACAUAAAUAGACAGACCCUUCGCAGAGGGAAGCAUUGAUUUGCAGAGGUUCCAGAGCUCAAGCUUUGAAAACAGAGAUAAUAAUUUUGGGCGGCAUGCUUUCAUUGUCAAUGCAAUGACUAAGAGUUCUCAACAUCUUCCACGCUACACAUGCUAUAGGCGGUUCCCAAACAGAAAAGUUAAGUUUUGACUCCCCCACCACCAAUCAAUCACACUCCAUGGCUAGCCGAAUCCUCGGGUACCGUCAAAACCAACAUCAAUCCUGGGGGAGUUUUGUUUGCAAUUAUCUUUUCGAUUUGAGCAUGGAACUCGGAAUUCCAAUUACCGGCCCCUUUCUCGUGAAUGAUAGUGAAUAACCACAUAUUGAGGAUAACACGCCUAGGAUGGAAGAUACCAAUAGCCCCCUGUCACCACAUGAGCGGUUCGGGCAUGCAAAACAGAUUAUUUCUUGAAGAUUUAGAGAGUGGCACAUGCAAAUUUACUUGGAGCGACAGGUAGAUACCGCACAUAGGUAGGUAUGGUGGACUCAUAUGGAAAAACUUUGGGUUUAUGUAAGUGGAUGCAGAAGCAGUAUUCCCGCUUAGUACAAGUGAAGGCUAGCAAAAGACUAGGAAGCGACCAACUAGAGAGCGACAACAGUCAUCAAAAUGCAUUGAGAUUAACUAGCAUUGAGUGCAAGCAUGAGUAUUUCAUAAAUCACCGUGAACAUGAACAUCAUAGAGGCUAUGUUGAUUUUGUUUCAACUACAUGCGUGAACAUGCGCCAAGUCAAGCCACUUGAAACAUUCAAAGGAGGAUACCAUCCUAUCAUACUACAUCAUAGUCAUCUCAACAUUCAUGUGGGCAUCCAAGACAAACCAUUAUAAGCUCCUAGCUAAAUAAACAUGGCAUAAGCAACUAUGAUCUCUAGGUUGUCAUUGCAAACAUGUUUCUCUCACAACAAAGCUGAAUUAGGCAUGCUGAGCUAGUCAUAUUUAGAAAAACAAAAUAGAUCGAGUUCAUACCAGCUUUUCCAGGCUCAGUCACUUCAUCAUAUAUCAUCAUUAUUGCCUUUCACUUGCACGACCGAACGUUGUGAACAAUAAUAAGAGUGCUCGUGCAUUGGACUAAACCUGGAAUCUGCAGGCAAACACAAAGGAGAAGACAAAGUAAUAUGGCACUUUGAAAGCUAAACAGGUAUGCAUGCAAGAGCCACUAAACAUUGUAACCAUAGUCUUCUACCUUGACCCAAAGAAAAGGAAAACUAUCUACACGGGAAAGCCCCCAACAAGCAAAAGAAGAAAAAGAUUUUUUUUUGUUUUUUCUCAAACUAGACAGACACAUGAAAAGAAAACGAGAAAAAGAAAAUAAACCAACAUGGAUGAUACAGUGGCAAAGUGUGAACACCGACGAACAAAGUGAAAGCAUAAGCAAGAAUGUAAAGUCGGUGAGAACACGUACUCCCCCAAGCUUAGGCUUUCGGCCUAACUUGGUCUACUCCCAAGGAGGGAAAUAACCAGCUCCGAGGUACUCCUGAGUGGACUGAGGAUGCCACUGCUGUGUGAGCUCCUCCGGCUCCCACUGAUAAAUUGGCGUCUGGUACUCGACUGGCGGCUCGGGCACGGGUACCUGUGGUUGUGCCAAGCCCCAAUAUGUGUAGAUGUCCGAGGGCAUAAUAGUGUACCUGCCUGCAUGAAGAUUGAACAAAGAAGGAGCAGGCAAAGUAAUAGUCUCACGAGUACCCUGACUAAAUAUCAGGUUAUAAAUCAUCCUUCCACCUAUAUCUCUAUCAAGAAAGUCAUGUCGAACCAUGCUAUCAUAAUCUAGAUAUCUCUCGGGAAGAAGAAUCUCUUCUUCUUCCUCAAGUCUAAUGGGUAUCUCAAAGUGUCUGGCAAGACGGGUAGCAUAGAUACCUCCAUAGACAACACCUUUAGAACGAUUAAGGUUUAACCGUUGAGCUACUAUAGUGCCCAGGCUAUAAGUUUUAUCGUUAUAAAGGGCUUCGCGCAAUACGGAAAGAUCUGGGGAACUAAGUGACCCAGCUUUCCCACGACCAAUCAAACAUUUUCCCACAAAUAGUGAGAAGUACCGAAGCACGGGAAAAUGAAUGCUAGCUGCUCUAGCGCAAGACACUACUCUCUCCUCUCCUACAACAAUUGUACCGAUAAAAGCUUCCAAGUCCCGUGGACGAGGUUCAUGAAUAUCCCCAACAUAAGGUAAUUUGCAAACAUUGCAAAAAUCCUGGAGUGACAUGCGCUGGGGGACAUCAUAAAGUUAAACUCAUCCAUAGGAGGAUUCUUCCUCGGAUAGACGUUAAAGUUUUGUACGAAGAUAUUAGUGAGGAGGAGGUAUUGCGAACACUUAUCUUCAACGAAGGCGGUAAGGCCUACGUUCUCCACCAAGUGAUAAAAGUCCUCAUAAAUUCCAGCGGCGCGUAAGAACACGUCGGUUGGCCACUCGCACGCUCGAACUUCUGCGACUCGAGGGACCGGAUACUUGGGCUUCUUCUCACUUCCAUCAUCCUUCGGGUCACGGCUUGACGAGGCUCUUAAGAACCUCCUCAUCUUUUCCCUUUCUUAUCUCUCAAAAUUUCUGAAAUUUUUAGUGAUUCUAAGGAAAAGUGAAUAAGGCUCAACGAAUCUCGUAGCAACUACUCCCACAAGUGCCUAGAGACCAUAUUACACACCAAAACUACUUGGGACCAGCUAGAAUCAGCAUGCAAAGCUCAAGAACAUGGUCACCAAGGCAGCAAAAAUACGUGGAGUAUAAGGCACUAGAGCAAAAACUAGUUGGACCAAUGGAGGAGUCACUUACCAAGGAGUAAUUUCCCCAAAACAGUUCGGAGAACGGUGAUUUGAGCAAAGAGAUCGAAUAUCCCAGCAAGAGGAGCAAGAACACGGGUUUGAGCUACGAAACGAUUUUUUCUGGAGGUAGGAGAAGCGGAUGAGAUCAAGAAUGAGUGGAGGGGGUGCCUGUGGGCCCCACAAGCCUGGGUGGCGCGGCCAGGGGGGUGCCCGCGCCCCUAGGGCUUGUGGCCCACUGGUGUGGCCCCCAGACAGACUCUUUGUCCUAGUAUUUCUCAAAUAUUUCAAAAAAAAGCAUACUAGAUUUUCACGGCGUUCGGAGAACUUUUAUUUUCGGGGUACUUUUCUACCGGACGCUAAAACAGAAAACAGGAAAAACUAAACUAAAUCUAUCAUUUUUCUUCUAAGCAACCUAAAGUGAAAGCUUGGAACAGAGGUUUGUGACUCCUCGAUUCAUCCAUCUCAUGGUCAUCGAAAGAAAUUUGUCAGUGUGGUAGAUCAAGUCUCCUCGACGAACCUUUUCGAAUCGCAAAAGAGAACGGAGAAUUUCCGAAUAGUCACUAGGUUACCUCAAUGGGGAUAUGUAUUUCCCCAACAAGCAAAUCAUACUUCAUCUUGACACGAGGAAUAGGGCAUUCAAAGCUCCCAAUAAGAAUCGAUGAAGUUUUUUCGAUAGCAUUGAUGCAAUGUACUCGAUAUUGUUUCUUCGGAAAGUGCACCGUAUGCUCAUUACCGUUGACAUGGAAAGUGACAUUGCCUUUGUUGCAAUCUAUAAUAGCUCCUAUAGUGUUUAAAAAGGGUCUUCCGAGGAUGAGCGCCAUGGCAUCAUCCUCGGGAAUAUCCAAGAUAACAAAGUCUGUUAAGAUAGUGGUAUUAGCAACCAUAAUAGGCACAUCCUCGGAAAUGCCGAUAGGGAAAGCAGUUGAUUUGUCGGCCAUUUGCAGAGAGAUUUCAGUGGGUGUCAACUUAUCCAGUUCAAGUCUACGAUAAAGAGAGAGAUGCAUAACACUAACACCGGCUCCAAGGUCGCACAACUCAGUUCUAACGUAGUUGCCUUUAAUGGAGCAAGGUAUAGUGGGCACACCGGGAUCACCUAGUUUCUUAGGAGUUCCACCCUUGAAAGUGUAAUUGGCAAGCAUGGCGGAGAUCUCAAGAUCAGGUAUCCUCCUCUUAUUAGUCACAAUAUCUUUCAUGUACUUAGAAUACGGAGACAUCUUGAGCAUAUCCGUCAAACGCAUUUGCAGAAAGAUAGGUUUGAUCAUCUCAACGAAGCGCUCAAAAUCCUCAUCAUCCUUUUCCUUGGAUGGUUUGGGAGGAAAAAGCAUAGGUUUCUGAACCCAUGGCUCCCUUUAUUUACCAUGCUUCCUAGCAGCGAAGUCAUUCUUAUCGUAUCUCUUAUUCUUAGGCUGUGGGUUAUCAAGAUCAACACUAGGUUCAAUCUCCACAUCCUUUUCAUUGCUAGGCUGAGCAUCUUCAUGAACAUCAGUGUUGAUAUUAUUAUUAGGCUCAUGUUCAUCACCAGAUUGUGUUUCAGCAUCAGAGACAGAGGCAUCGUUUGGCCUCUCAGGGGUAGCAGCAACAGGGUUGCUAGCGUGCAGGUUCCUAUCAUAUUUCUUCUUCUUUCUAGGAUGACUAGGUGCAUCAGUGCUAACUCCUUGAGAAUCUUGUUCAACUCUCUUCGGAUGACCCUCAGGAUAUAGAGGUUCCUGGGUCAUUCUACCGCCUCUAGUGACGACUCUGAUAGAAUUGUCAUUCAACUCGUUGAGCAAGUCAUUUUGAGCUUUAAGUACUUGUUCUACCUGAGUAGUAACCAUAGAGGCAUGUUUACUCAGAAGCUUAAGAUCAUUGACAUUUCUGUCCACACAAGCACUUAAAUGACUAAGCAUACGAGCAUUCUUUUCCAAUUGUCUGCUAACAUAAUCAUUGAAACUCUGUUGUUUGGCAACGAAGUUAUCAAAUUCAUCCAUGCAUAAGCUAGCAGGUUUAUCAAAAGGAACAUCACUCUCAUCAAACCAACGAAGAGAAUUUACUUCUACUACCGGUAUCAGGUUAUCGAGACGAUGGAUCUCUUCGAUAGGUGGUAGAUUUUUGACAUCUUCAGAUAUAAUGCCUUUCUCUCGCAUAGAUUUCUUGGCUUCUUGCAUAUCUUCAGGACUGAGGAAUAGAAUACCUCUUUUGUUCGGAGUUAGCUUAGGAGGUGGUUCAGGAAUAGUCCAAGCAUUCUCAUUGCACAAGAUGUUAUUCAGUAGAAUAUUAGCUUGUUCUACGGUUCGUUCCCUAAAAACACUACCGACACAACUAUCUAGAUGGUCUUUGGAAGCAUCGGUAAGUCCAUUAUAGAAGAUAUCAAGUAUCUCAUUCUUCUCAAGAGGGUGAUCAGGCAAAGCAUUCACUAGCCGGAUAAGCCUCCCCCAAGCUUGUGGGAGACUCUCUUCUUCAUCUUGAGCAAAGUUGUAUAUUUCCUGCAAGGCAGCUUGCUUCUUAUGGGCAGGGAAAUAUUUUUCAGAGAAGUAGUAGACCAUAUCUCGGGGGCUACGCACACAUCCAGGAGCAAGAGAAGUGAACCAGGUCUUAGCAUCAUCCUUUAGCGAGAAAGGAAACAACUUGAGCAUAUAGUAGUGGCGGAUCUCUUCCUCACUAGUGAAUAGGGUAGCUAUAUCGUGUAGUUUGGUAAGAUGGGCUACAACCGUUUCAGAGUCAUAACGAUGAAAAGGAUCAUAUUCGACCAGAGUGAUUAACUCAGGGUCGAUAGAGAAUUCAUAAUCCUUAACGGUCACGAAGAUAGGCGAAGUUGCAAACUUCGGGUCAUAUUUCAUCCUAGCGUUAAGAGAUGUUUCUUUCCACUUGCGUUGAAGUUUCUCAACUGCAUAGCUAUCCUUACAUGCAAGAAAGUCCUCAGCUAUCUCUACCUCCAUAACAUAGCGCGUAUCAGGCAUAACAGGCAAUUCAGGCAUAGUAGGAGGUUCUACUUCAAUAGUAUCAGCAGUUUCAGAAGCAUCAUCACAUCUAGCAGCAAGUCUAGCAAUAUGUGCAUCAAGGAAUGCACCAACUGGCAAAGCAGUAUCAAGCAUAGCAGGCAUAGUAUCAAUCAUAGCAUCAUCAGGCAUAGUAUCAAGCAUAGCAUCAUCAGGCAUAGUAUUAAGCAUAGCAUCAUCAGGCAUAGUAUCAAGCAUAGCAUCAUAAGCAUCAUGGGCAGCAGAAGUAGCAUCAUCAAGCACAUGCGACAUAUCAAGAUUUCUAGCAGGAGGCGAAGUCGCAAACUUACUCAGAACUGAAGGGGAAUCAAGUGAGAGCUUGAUGGCAGUUCCUUACCUCUCCUCAUAGUGGAAGGUAGGAUUUUAGUUCUUGGAUCUUUCGGAUUCCUCAUAGUCAUCAGCAGAUGUCAAUCCCAAGUGACUCAGAGAAUAUAGCUGUGCCUCCCCGGCAACGGCGCCAGAAAAAGUCUUUAUGUCCCACAAGCGUAUGGGAUCGCAACAGUUUUUGAGGGUAGAGUAUUCAACCCAAAUUUAUUGAUUCGCCAAGACGGGAGGCGAAAGAAUAUUCUCAAGUAUUAGCAGCUGAAUGUGUCAGAUUCAACCACACGUGAAAGAUUAGUGUCUGCAAGCAAAGUAUCAGUAGCAAGGUAGUAUGAUAGCAACGGUGCCAGAAACAAUCUGUUGACACGGCAGACUAUUCCUAACUGUUGUAUCAAUGGCGCCAGCACGUUGACGGGGGAUUAUUCUUGAGAAUAAUACUUCCUCGGCUACGACUUCAACAAAGUCUUGCAACAAGUAAUAGCGGACUGCUGACGUGCAACUAUUCCUGACUUGAUACCUCCACGGCAACAGAGCUAGAAAAGAGCUCGUCCGAAUUGCUCAACAAUUAAAUUGUCUUGCAAUCGCCCACCAGUGCGUGGGAUCGCAACAGUUUUCGAGGGUAGAGUAUUCAACUCAAAUUUGUUGGUUCGCACGACGGGAAGUGAAAGAAUAUUCUCAAGUAUUAGCAGCUGAAUGCGUCAAAUUCAACCACACCUGAAAGAUUAGUAUCUGCAAGCAAAGUAGUAUGAUAGCAACGGUGCCAGAAACGAUCUGUUGACGGCAGACUAUUCCUAACUGUUGUAUCAAUGGCGCCAGUAAGUUGCCCGUGGACGGGAAAUAUUCUUUCCCGUCAACGGCUCUAGAAAAAGUAUUGUAGCGGGUAGCAGCAGUGUAACGAGUAACAACAGUGGCAAGGAACAGCAGUAGUGACAGCAGUAGCAAGUAGCAGCAGUAGCAAGUAACAACAGUAGCAAGUAACAGUAGCAGCAACAGUAGUAACAGCAGCAGAGCAAAGCAAGUAACAGCAGGAGAGCAAAACAAGUAAAAACAGCAGUGGGACAAACUCGUAGGAAAUGGGUCGGUGAUUUGUCGAAUGAUAUUCAUCAUGCAACAGUUAUAACACAAAGAGAUAUGUGGCUAGCUCCCAUUCAUCAAUGUGAUGUAGGCAUGCAUUCCGUGUGUCGUCAUACGUGCUUAGGGAAAAGAACUUGCAUGACAUCUAUUGUCCAUCCUUCCCGUGGCAGCAGGGUCCAAAAGGAUACUACGGGAUAUUAAGGUUCUCCUUUUAAUAAAGAACUGGACCAACGCAUUAGCACUUGGUGAACACAUGAACUCCUCAAACUAUGGCCAUCACCGGGAGUGGUUCCGGGUAUUGUCAGUCCGGGGUUGCCGGGUCAUAACACAUAGUAGGUAACUACAACUUGCAAGAUCGGAUCUAAAACACACAUAUAUUGGUGACCACAUAAUAAUUUCAGAUCUGAAAUCAUGGCACUCGGGCCCUAGUGACAACCAUUAAGCAUGGCAAAGUAGUAGCAACAUCAAUCUCAAAACAUAGUGAAUACUAGGGCUGAAUCCCCGUCAAUAGUAACUGGAUUACAUGAUAGAUCUCAUCCUACUCAUCACCGCCCAGCGAGCCUAUGAAUAGAUUACUCACGAACGAUGAAGAGCUUCAUGGAAUUGGAGAGGGAAGAAGGUUGAUGAUGACGAUGGCGAUGAUUUCCCCUCUCUGGAGCCCAAAACGGACUCCAGAUCUGUCCUCGAGAUGAAGAACAGGAUGUGGCGGCGCCUCCGUAUCGCAAACGCGAUGAAAUCUUCUCUUCUGAUUUUUUUUGGGACGAAAGGGAAUUUAUAGAGCUGAGUUUGGGGGCGGCAGAGCCACGUGGGCCCCACAAGCUUGGUUGCCGCAGCCAGGGGGGUUGCCGCGGCAACAGGGCUUGUGGCCCACUAGCCCAUCCCCUCCGGUGGAUCUUUGCACAGGUAUUUUUCAUAUUUUUCAAAAAUAUUCUUCGUAAAUUUUCAGGACGUUCCAGAACUUUCAUUUCUGCACAAAAACAGCACCAUGGCAAUUCUGCUGAAAACAGCGUUAGUCCGGGUUAGUUUGAUUCAAAUCAUGCAAAUUAGAGUCCAAAACAAGGGCAAAAGAGUUUGGAAAAGUAGAUACGAUGGAGACGUAUCAACUCCCCCAAGCUCAAAACCUUGCUUGUCCUCAAGCCACUCAGUUGACAAACUGAAAGAGAGAGAAAAACUUUGACAAACUCUGUUUGAUGUCGUUGUUGCAACUAUGUCUACCUCAUAACCUGAAUUUCAGCAAGCUCACAAGUUAACCACAUAAGCAAGGGACACAUAGGUCUCACGGUAAACUAAUAUCAAUGGCAUAAUCACCUAGCGAGCAAAUAAUAAUGAGUUUCAGAUACCAACAAUUCAAUCAAAACAAGCAUGAAGCAAUAUGAAUAGGUGGUAUCUCGCUAGCUCUCUCUGAGACCGCAAAACAUAAAUGCAGAGCACUUUCAAAGAUCAAGGGCACACUAAACAUUGUAAUUCAUAGCAAUGAAGAUCCAGUCAUAGUCAUACUCAAUGUCAAGCAAAAGCAAAGCAUAAAAAUGACAGAGGUGCUCUCUAAUUGGUGCUUAUAUAAGAAGAGGAUGACUCAAUAGGAAAAUAAAUAGACAAGCCCUACGCAGAGGGAAGCAUUGAUUUGCAGAGGUGCCAGAGCUCAAGCUUUGAAAACAGAGAAAAUAAUUUUGGGUGGCAUGCUUUCAUUGUCAACACAAUGACCAAGAGUUCUCAAUAUCUUCCAUGCUACUCAUGCUAUAGGCUGUUCCCAAACAGAAAAGUAAAGUUUUAACUCCCCCACCACCAAUCAAUCUCCACGGCUAGCCGAAUCCUCGGGUACUGUCCAUACUAACAUCAAUCCAGGGGGAGUCUUGUUUUAUAGUUAUGUUUUCGAUUUCAGUGUGGAACUAGGCAUUCCAAUUACCGGCCCCUUUCUCGUGAAUGACAGUGAAUAAAGACAUGUCGAGGAUAACACGCCUAACAUGGAAGAUACCAAUAGCCCCCUGUCACCACAUGAGCGGUUCAGGCAUGCAAAACAGAUUACUUGUUGAAGGUUUAGAGAAUGGCACAUGCAAAUUUACUUGGAACGACAGGUAGAUACCGCAAAUAGGUAGGUAUGGUGGACUCUCAUGGAAAAACUUUUGGGUUUAUGGAAGUGGAUGCACAAGCAAUAUUCCGCUUAGUACAAGUGGAGGCUAGCAAAAGACUGGGAAGCGACCAACUAGAGAGCAACAAAAAUCAUCAAGAUGCAAUGAGUUCUACUAACAUGGAGUGCAAGCAUGAACAUGAUAUAAAUCACCAUGAAUACGAACAUCAUAGAGGCUAUGUUGAUGUUAUUUCAACUACAUGCAUGAACAUGCGCCAAGUCAAGCCACUUGAAUCAUUCAAAGGAGAAUAGCAUCCUAUCAUACUACAUCAUAGUCAUCUCAAAAUCUAUGUUGGCAUUCAAGACAAACCAUUAUAAGCUCCUAGCUAAUUAAGCAUGGCAUCAGAAACUAUGAUCUCUAAGUUGUCAUUGCAAACAUGGUUCUCUCUCAACAAAGUUGAAUCUGGAAUGACAAGCUAGUCAUGUUCACAAAAACAAAAUAGAUAGAGUUCAUACCAGCUUUUCAGUCUCAGUCACUUCAUCAUAUAUCAUCAUUAUUGCCUUUCACUUGCACGAUCGAAUGAUGUGAACAAUAAUAAGAGUGCUCGUGUAUUGGACUAAGCUGAAUCUGCAGGCAAACACAAAGGAGAAGACAAAGUAAUAUGGCUCUUUGAAAGCUAAACAAGUAUGCAUGCAAGAGCCACUAAACAUUGUAACCUAUAUCUUCUACCUUGACCCAAAGAAAAAGAAAACUAUUUACACGGGAAAGCUCCCAACAAGCAAAAGAAGAAAGGAAAAUCUUUUUGGGUUUUCUCAAAAGGACACAAAACAAGAAAACAAGAAAACGGAAAUAAACUAGCAUGGAUAAUACAGUGGCAAAGUGUAAACACCGGCUAACAAAGUGAAAGCAUAAGCAUGAAUGUAAAGUCGGUGAGAACAUGUACUCCCCCAAGCUUAGGCUUUUGGCCUAGCUUGGUCUACUCCCAAGGAUGGUCCUGGCGAAACCCAAAAUCAUAAUCGGGGUUAUACGGGAGCACUGCAGCCACUGCCUGAAUAACUGCCUCACGAAGACGAGCAGCCGUCGCCUCCCUCUCAUACUCCGCUACCUCUCCAAUGGUUAUGUAGUAUCUCCAUUUUACCUGAAAGUCAAAGAAAGUAGGAGCAGGAAGGGUAAUAUGGAAAACACGCUGCCGGUUAAAUAUCAAUCGGUAUAGGAGGGAUUCAUCAUCCCUCUCAAGGAACUGGUAGCAUGUCAUAGCGACGCGGUCAAGGAAAGCUGUAUGGAGCGGGGGAUCUCCUGCUCGGAUGGGUACUCCAAGAAAAUUUUCUAUGCGAGUGGCAUAGAUGCCGCCAAAGAAAUCCCCAUCAAUAGCAUUCUUAUUCAACCUCCUUGCUAUAAUAGCUCCCAUGUUGAAGAUUUUGUCACCCGUCACUGCGCUCUUAAGGAUACUCAGGUCGGAUGCGCAUAGGUGACAAUGUUCAACCUUGCCGUUAAUGCAUCUACCUAUGAAGAGGGCAAAGUAGUGCAAGGCAGGGAAAUGAAUGCUUCUAUGGCAGCUUGCGUGAUGUCUCUAGUUUCUCCAACAGUUAUACUAGAGAAAAAAAUCUCUAACCGAAGAUUUAGCAGGAUCUUUAAGAUUACCGCCAUCGGGUAUUUUGCAAAUCCUAUUGAAAUCCUCCAAAUCCAUGGUGUAGGAUUUAUCAUACAGAUCAAACAGUAUGGAUGAGUCACGGCCAACUGAAAUUUAAAUCUACGUACGAACGAGGCAGUGAGCAAAGCAUACUGUUCACAUUUAUCUAAGAGGAAUUCUUCUAACCUGGCAUUGCGGACAAGUGUAUCAAACUCAUCCUUGAAGCCUUCUUCGAUCAUAAACUCAUCGGAAGGCCAUUCACAUGGUUGCACCGGUGCGUCCCUUAGUUGAUAAGGAUCGGGCUCCCGAAUAGAAAGAGGGGGACCCUUCUUACUUGAGGAACCACCAUGAAACUUCCUCCUGAAUAUAAUUUCUUUUUGCUGAAAUUUUUGAAGUUCAAGAGAAAAGUGAAUAAAGACCAACCAUACCUUGUAGCAACUACUCCUAGUAGUGCCUAGAGACCGUAUCACGCACUAAAACUACUUGGGACCAGCUAAAAUCAACGUUUCAAGCUCAAGAUCAGGGUCACCAAGGUAGCAAGAAUACACGAAGGAUAAAGCACUAGAGCAAAAACUAAAUGGACUAAUGGAGGAGUCACUUACCAAGGAGUAAUUUCCCCAAAACGGUUUGGAGAAUGGUGCUUUGAGCAAGGAGAUCGAAAAUCACAGCCAAAUGAGCAAGAACCCGGGUUUGAGCUGCGAAACGAUUUUUUUUGGAGGAAGAAGAAGAGAAUGGGGGCUGGAAUGAGUGGAGGGGGUCCCUGUGGGCCCCAAAACCUUGCUUGCCGCGGCCAGGGGGGUAGGCCGCGGUGACAGGGCUUGUGGCCCACUGGUGUGGCCCCCAGGCCAGCUCUCAGUCCUAGUAUUUUCCAAAUAUUUCAGAAAAAAUCAUACUAGAUUUUCACGACCAUCGGAGAAUUUUUAUUUUCGGGGUAUUUUUCGACCGGACGCUAAAACAGAAAACAGGGAAAACUAAACUAAAUCUAUCAUUUUUCUUCCAAGCAACAGAAAGUGAAAGCUUAAAACAGAGGUAUGUGACUCUUUGAUUCAUCCAUUUCAUGGUCAUCGAAAGAAAUUCGUCAAUGGGGUUGAUCAAAUCCUCAUGACAAAACUUUCUCGAAUCGCAAAAGAGAACAGAGAAUUUCCGAAUAGCCACUAAGUCACCUCAAUGGGGAUAUGUAUCUCCCCAACAAGCAAAUCAUACUUCAUCUUGACACGAGGAAUAGGGCAUUCAAAGCUCCCAAUAAGAAUCGAUGAAGUUUUUUCGAUAGCAUUGAUGCAAUGUACUUGAUACCGUUUCUUCGGAAAGUGCACUGUAUGCUCAUUACCGUUGACAUGGAAAGUGACAUUGCCUUUGUUGCAAUCUAUAACUGCCCCUGCAUUGUUUAAAAAGGGUCCUCCGAGGAUGACAGCCAUGGCAUCGUCCUCGGGAAUAUCUAAGAUAACAAAGUCUGCUAAGAUAGUGGUGUUAGCAACCACAACAGGAACAUCCUCGCAAAUGCCGACAAGGAAAGCAAUUGAUUUGUCAGCCAUUUGCAGAGAGAUUUUAGUGGGUGUCAACUUAUCCAGUUCAAGUCUACGAUAAAGAGAGAGCGGCAUAACACUAACACCGGCUCCAAGGUCACAUAAGGCAGUUCUUACGUAGUUUCCUUUAAUGGAGCAAGGUAUAGUGGGCACUCCGGGAUCACCAAGUUUCUUAGGAGUUCCACCUUUGAAAGUGUAAUUGGCAAGCAUGGUGGAGAUCUCAAGAUCUGGUAUCUUCCGUUUAUUAGUCACGAUAUCUUUCAUGUACUUGGCAUAUGGAGACAUUUUGAGCAUAUCAAUUAACCGCAUCUGUAGAAAGACGGGUCUUAUCAUUUCAAUAAAGCGCUCAAAAUCCUCAUCAUCCUUUUUCUUGGAUGGCUUAGGAGGAAAGGGCAUAGGUCUCUGAACCCAUGGCUCCCUUUCUUUGCCAUGCUUCCUAGCAGUGAAAUCAUUCUUAUCGUAUCUCUUAGGUUGUGGGUUAUCAGGAUUAACCGUUGGUUCAAUCUCCACAUCCUUAUCAUUGCUAGGUUGAGCAUCAUUAUGAACAUCGCUGUCCAUAUUGUCACCAGUUUCAUGUUCAUCACCAGAUUGUGUUUCUGCAUCAAACGCAGAAAUAUCAUUUGGUUCUUCAGGUGUGACAGUAUUUGGUGAACUGACAAGUAGGUUUCUAACAUCCUUCUUCUUCUCCGUAGGAUGACUGGGUGUAUCAGCAUUAAUUCCUUGAGAAUCCUAAUCAAUUCUCUUAGGAUGGUCUUCAGGAUACAAAGGUUCCUGAGUCAUUUUGCCUCCUCUAGUAAUGACUCUGACAGAAUUGUCAUUUAAUUCAUUGAGCAAGUUAUUCUGAGCUUUAAGUACUUGUUCUGCCUGAGUAGUAAUCAUAGAGGCAUGUUUACUGAGCAGCUUCAGAUCAUUGGCAUUUCUGUCUACACAAGCACUUAAAUGACUAAGCAUACGAGUACUUUGUUCCAAAUGUCUGCUAACAUAAUCAUUGAAACUUUGUUGUUUGGCAACAAAGUUGUCAAAUUCCUCAAAGCAUAGGCUAGCAGGUUUAUCAAAAGGAAUAUCACUCUCAUCGAAUCUAUGCAGAGAAUUUACUUCUACUACUUGUGUCCGGUUAUCGAGACCAUGGAUCUCUUUGAUAUGUGGUAGAUUUUUGACAUCUUCAGAUCUAAUGCCUUUCUCUUGCAUAGAUUUCAUGGCUUCUUGCAUAUCUUCGGGACUGAGGAAUAGAAUACCUCUUUUCUUAGGAUUUGGCUUAGGAGGUGGUUCGGGAAUAGUCCAAGCAUUAUCGUUGAUCAAGAUGUUAUUCAGUAGGAUCUCAGCUUGUUCUACACUUCGUUCCCUAAAAACACAACCGACACAACUAUCUAGGUGGUCUCUGGAAGCAUAGGUAAGUCCGUUAUAGAAGAUAUCAAGUAUCUCGUUCUUCUUAAGAGGGUGAUCAGGCAAAGCAUUCUGUAGCUGGAUGAGCCUCCCCCAAGCUUGUGGGAGACUCUCUUCUUUGAGUUGAGCAAAGUUGUAUAUUUCCUGCAAGGCAGCUUGCUUCUUAUGGGCAGGGAAAUAUUUCUCACAGAAGUAAUAGACCAUAUCCUGGGGACUACUCACACAUCCAGGAGCAAGAGAAGUGAACCAGGCUUUAGCGUCAUCCUUUAGAGAGAAAGGAAACAGCUUAAGGAUAUAGUAGUAGCGGAUCUUCUCCUCACUAGUGAAAAGGGUGGCUAUAACGUGUAGUUUGGUAAGAUGGGCUACGACCGUCUCAGACUCAUAACCGUGGAAAGGAUCAGAUUCGACUAGAGAGAUUAUCUCAGGGUCGACAGAAAAUUCAUAAUCCUUAUCGGUGAUAAAGAUAGGUGAAGUGGAAACUUCGGGUCGUAGUUCAUCCUAGCUUUCAGAGAUUUUUCCAUCCACUUGAGAAGUAAUUUCUCAGCGUCAUAGGCAUCCUUACACGCAAGAAAAUCCUCAGCUAUCUCUCCCUCCAUAACAUAACCCUCAGGUAUAUCAGGCAAUUCAUAUCUAGGAGAGCUAGAUCUAGCAGGAGCAAAAGCAGGUUCUAUUUCAAUAGUAUCGAUAGUUUUAGAAGCAUCACGAGCAUUGACAGUAACGCUAGCAAUAUGAGCAUCAAGGAAUACCCCUAGUGGCAUAUCAGGCAAAGUAGUAUCUCUAGCAGUAUCAAGCAUAGCAUCAUCAGGCAAAAUAGCAUCUCUAGCAUCAUCAGGCAAAGCAGUAUCAAGCAUAGCAUCUCUAGCAGUAUCAGGCAUAACAUCUCUAGCAGUAUCAGGCAUAGCAUCAUCAAGCAUAGUAGCAUCAUAAGCAUCAUCAAGCACAAGCGACAUAUCAAGAUUUCUAGGAGGAGGUGGUGUCGAAAACUUACUCAUAACUGAAGGUGAAUCAAGUGCAGAGCUAGAUGGCAGUUCCUUACCUCCCCUCGUAGUUGAGGGCAAGACUUUGGUUUUUGGAUCUUUCAGAUUCUUCAUAGUGAUCAGCAGAUACAAAUCCCAAGUGACUCAGAGAAUAUAGCAGUCCCUUCCCUGGCAACGGCGCCAGAAAAAUGCUGCUGACGUGCAACUAUUCCUGACUUGAUACCUCCACGGCAACAGAGCGAGAAAAGGGCUCGUCCAUAUUGCUCAACAAUUAAAUUGUCUUGCAAUCGCCCACCAGCGCGUGGGAUCGCGGCAGUUUUCAAUGGUAGAGUAUUCAACCCAAAUUUUUGGUUCACACGACGGGAAGUGAAAGAAUAUUCUCAAGUAUUAGCAGCUGAAUGUGUCAAAUUCAACCACACCUGAAAGAUUAGUAUCUGCAAGCAAAGUAGUAUGAUAGCAACGGUGCCAGAAACGAUCUGUUGACGGCAGACUAUUCCUAACUGUUGUAUCAAUGGCGCGAGUAAGUUGCCCGUGGACGGGAAAUAUUCUUUCCCGUCAACGGCGCUAGAAAAAGUAUUGUAGCAGGUAGCAGCAGUGUAACGAGUAACAACAUUGGCAAGGAAUAGCAGUAGUGACGGCAGUAGCAAGUAGCAGCAGUAGCAAGUAACAACAGUAGCAAGUGACAGUAGCACCAACAGUAGUAACAGCAGCAGAGCAAAGCAAGUAACAGCAGCAGAGCAAAACAAUUAACAGCAGCAGUGGGACAAACUCGUAGGCAAUGGGUCGGUGAUUUGUAGAAUGAUAUUCAUCAUGCAACAGUUAUAACACGGAGAGAUAUGUGGCUAGCUCCCGUUCGUCAAUGUGAUGUAGGCAUGCAUUCCGUGUGUUGUCAUACGUGCUUAGGGAAAAUAACUUGGAUGACAUCUAUUGUCCAUCCCUCCCGUGGCAGCGGGGUCCAAAAGGAUACUACAGGAUAUUAAGGUUCUCCUUUUAAUAAAGAAUCGGACCAACGCAUUAGCACUUGGUGAACACAUGAACUCCUCAAACUAUGGUCAUCACCGGGAGUGGUUCCGGGUAUUGUCAGUCCGGGGUUGCCGGGUCAUAACACAUAGUAGGUAACUACAGCUUGCAAGAUCGGAUCUAAAACACACAUAUAUUUUUGACAACAUAAUAAUUUCAGAUCUGAAAUCAUGGCACUCGGGCCCUAGUGACAAGCAUUAAGCAUGGGUAAGUAGUAGCAACAUCAAUGUCAAAACAUAGUGGAUACUAGGGAUCAAUCCCCGUCAAAACUAACUCGAUUACAUGAUAGAUCUCAUCCUACUCAUCACCGCCCAGCGAGCCUACAAAUAGAGUACUCACGAACGAUGAAGAGCUUCAUGGAAUUGGAGAGGGAAGAAGUUUGAUGAUGACGAUGGCGACGAUUUCCCCUCGCCGGAGCCCAAAACGGACUCCAGAUAUGUCCUCUAGAUGAAGAACAGGAUGUGGCGGCGCCUCCGUAUCGCAAACGCGAUGAAAUCUUCUCUUCUGAUUUUUUCUUCUUACGAAAGGGAAUUUAUAUAGCUGAGUUUGGGGGCGGCAGAGCCACGUGGGCCCCACAAGCUUAUUUGCCGCGGCCAGGGGGGUGGCCGUGGCAACCGGGCUUGUGGCCCACUAGCCCAUCCCCUCCGGUGGAUCUUUGCGCAGGUAUUUUUCAUAUGUUCCAAAAAUAUUCUCCGUAAAUUUUCAGGACGUUCCGAGAACUUUCAUUUCUGCACAAAAACAACACCAUGGCAAUUCUGCUGAAAACAGCGUUAGUCCGGGUUAUUUCUAUUCAAAUCAUGCAAAUUAGAGUCCAAAACAAGGGCAAAAGAGUUUGGAAAAGUAGAUACGAUGGAGACGUAUCAACUCCCCCAAGCUUAAAACCUUGCUUGUCCUCAAGCAACUCAGUUGACAAACUGAGAGAGACAAAAGAAAAACUUUGACGAACUUUGUUUGAUCUUGUUGUUGCAACUAUGUCUAACUCACAACUAGAAUUUCAGCAAGAUCACAAGUUAACCACAUAAGCAAGUGACACAUAGGUCUCACAGUAAACUAGUAUCAAUGGCAUAAUCAGCUAGCGAGCAAAUAAUAAUGAGUUUCAGAUACCGACAAUUCAAUCAAAACAAGCAUGAAGCAAUAUGAAUAGGUGGUAUCUCGCUAGCUCUUUCUGAGACCGCAAAACAUAAAUGCAGAGCACUUUCAAAGAUCAAGGGCUGACUAAACAUUGUAAUUCACAGCAACGAAGAUCCAGUCAUAGUCAUACUCAAUAUAAAUCAAAAGCAAAGCAUAAAAAUGACAGAGGUGCUCUCUAAUUGGUGGUUAUAUAAGAAGAGGAUGACUCAACAGGAAAAUAAAUAGACAUGCCCUUCGCAGAGGGAAGCAUUAAUUUGCAGAGGUGCCAGAGCUCAAGCUUUGAAAACAGAGAUAAUAAUUUUGGGUGGCAUGCUUUCAUUGUCAACGCAAUGACCAAGAGCUCUCAAUAUCUUCCAUGCUACUCAUGCUAUAGGCGGUUCCCAAACAGAAAGUAAAGUUUUAACUCCCCCACCACCAAUCAAUCACACUCCACGGCUAGCCGAAUCCUCGGGUACCGUCCAUACUAACAUCAAUCCAGGGGGAGUCUUGUUUUACAGUUAUGUUUUCGAUUUAAGCGUGGAACCGGGCAUUCCAAUUACCGGCCCCUUUCUCGUGAAUGACAGUGAAUAAACACAUGUCGAGGAUAACAUGCCUAACAUGGAAGAUACCAGUAGCCCCUGUCACCACAUGAGCGGUUCGGGCAUGCAAAACAUAUUAUUUCUUGAAGGUUUAGAGAAUGGCACAUGCAAAUUUACUUGGAACGGCAGGUAGAUACCGCAAAUAGGUAGGUAUGGCGCACUCUCAUGGAAAAACUUUUGGGUUUAUGGAAGUGGAUGCACAAGCAGUAUUCCGCUUAGUACAAGUGGAGGCUAGCAAAACACUGGGAAGCGACCAACUAGAGAGCGACAACAGUCAUCAAGAUGCAAUGAGUUUGACUCACAUAGAGUGCAAGCAUGAACAGGAUAUAAAUCAACAUGAAUACGAACAUCAUAGAGGCUAUGGUGACUUUGUUUCAACUACAUGCAUGAACAUGCGCCAAGUCAAGCCACUUGAAUCGUUCAAAGGAGAAUACCAUCCUAUCAUACUACAUCAUAGUCAUCUCAAAAUCUAUGUUGGCAUUCAAGACAAACCAUUAUAAGCUCCUAGCUAAUUAAGCAUGGCAUCAGAAACUAUGAUCUCUAACUUGUCAUUGCAAACAUGGUUCUCUCUCAACAAAGCUGAAUAUGGAACAACAAGCUAGUCAUAUUUACAAAAAACAAAAUAGAUAGAGUUCAUACCAGCUUUUCAGUCUCAGUCACUUCAUCAUAUAUCAUCAUUAUUGCCUUUCACUUGCACGAUUGAACGAUGUGAACAAUAAUAAGAGUGCUCGUGCAUUGGACUAAGCUGAAUCUGCAGGCAAACACAAAGGAGAAGACAAAGUAAUAUGGCUCUUUGAAAGCUAAACAGGUAUGCAUGCAAGAGCCACUAAACAUUGUAACCAAUAUCUUUUACCUUGACCUAAAGAAAAAGAAAAUUAUUUACACGGGAAAGCUCCCAACAAGCAAAAGAAGAAAGGAAAAUCUUUUUGGGUUUUUUCAAAAGGACACAAAACAAGAAAACAAGAAAAUGAAAAUAAACUAGCAUGGAUAAUACAGUGGCAAAGUGUAAACACCAGCUAACAAAGUGAAAGCAUAAGCAUGAAUGUAAAGCCCAGGCAAAGUAACGUAACGAGAACCAGUAGUUAAAGACUCGUAGGCAGUGGAUCGGUGAUGGAUGAGUAUGACGGAUGUGAUUCAUCAUGUAACAGCUAUAACACGGAGAGAUAUGUAACUAGCUCCCGUUCGUCAAUCUAAUGUAGGCAUGUAUUCUGUAUGUAGUCAUACGUGCUUAGCGAAAAGAACUUGCAUGGCAUCUAUUGUCCAUCCCUCCCGUUGCAGCGGGGUCCUAAUGGAAACUACGGGAUAUUAAGGUUCUCCUUUUAAUAAAGAACCGGACCAACGCAUUAACACGCGGUGAAUACAUCAACUCCUGAUACUAUGGUCAUCUCCGGGAGUGGUUCCGGCUAUUGUCACUUCGGGGUUGCCGGGUCAUAACACAUAGUAGGUGACUACAACUUGCAAGAUAGGAUCUAAAACACACAUAUAUUGGCGACAACAUACUAGGUUCAGAUCUGAAAUCAUGGCACUCGGGCCCUAGUGACAAGCAUUAAGCAUAGCCAAGUAGUAGCAACAUCGUUCUAGAACAUAGUGAAUACUAGGGAUCAAUCCCCGUCAAGAACUAACUCGAUUACAUGAUAGAUCUCAUCCAACUCAUCACCGUCCAGCAAGCCUACAAUGAGAUUACUCACGAAUGAUGAAGAGCAUCAUGGAAUUGUCGAUGGAGGAAGGUUGAUGAUGACGAUGGCGACGAUUUCCCCUCUCCGGAUCCCGAAACGGACUGCAGAUCUGCCCUCUAGAUGAAGAACAGGAUGUGGCGGCACCUCCGUAUCGCAAAACGCGAUGAAACCUUCUCUCUGUUUUUUUCCAGGCGAAACGGAAGAUAUAGAGCUGAGAUUGGGGGCGGUGGUGCCACGUGGGCCCCACAAGCCUGCAUGGCGCGGCCAUAGGGGGUGGCCGCGGCCUAUGGGCUUGUGGCCCACUGGCACGCCCCCUCCGGUGGAUCUUUGCGCAUGUAUUUUUCUUUUAUUCCUGAAAAAUAUCUGUAAAUUUUCAGGACGUUCCAAGAACUUUUAUUUCCGCACAAAAACAACACCAUGGCAAUUCUGCUGAAAACAACGUCAAUCCGGGUUAGUUCCAUUCAAAUCAUGCAAAUUAGAGUCCAAAACAAGGGCAAAAGAGUUCGGAAAAGUAGAUACGACGGAGAUGUAUCAUGGAGCAGUCCUAGUAGGGCUUCGCCAAGCGCUGCCGGAACCGAUCUGAGGAGAAAACAGAGUUAUGGGAGAGGUAGGGCUGUCACUCGGGCGUGCAAAUUGUGGUUUUCAGCCCCUCCCUCUCCCCCACUAUAUAUAGGAGGCAAGGGGGGGAGGGGUUAGGUUGCAGCCCUAGCCCCUCCUGCAAGGAGGGGGCGUGGGUCCAGGGAGGAUUCCUCGCUCCCCAAGGCACCUGUGAGGUGCCUUCCCCUUUAGGGAUUCUUCCCUCCCAACAGCAUGGGCCCUUGGGGGCUGGCCCAACAAGGCUUAGACGCCCCCUUAUAGCCCAUACAUGUCCUAGGGGUUGAAGGGACCCUUCUGGACUUCUCCGGAACCCUCUGGAACCUUUUGGAACCUUCUAGAAGCUUCCCGGUACAAUACCGAUAAAACUCGAAACUUUUCCGGUAGCCAAAAUAUGACUUCCCAUCUAUAAAUUUAUACCUCCGAACCAUUCUGGAGCUCCUCGUGACAUCUGGGACUCCAAACAAUAUUUGAUCACUAACGUAUAUAUCCCAAUGCUACUCUAGCAUCACCGAAUGUUUAGUGUGCAGAGCCUGCGCGUUCGAGAACUAUGCAGACAUGACCGAGGCACCUCUACGGUCAAUAACCAAUAGCGGGACCUGGAUGCCAAUAUUUGUUCCUACAUAUUCUACGGAGAUCUUUAUCAGUCGAACCACAAUGUCAAGGAUUCAAUCAAUCCCGUUUGGAGUUCCCUUUGUCCAUCGGUAUGUUACUUGCCUAAAUUCGAUCGUCGGUAUCUACAUACCUAGUUCAAUCUCGUUAUCGUCAAGUCUCUUUACUCGUUCCCUAAUACAAAAUCCCAUGACUAACUCCAUAGUCACAUUUCUUGCGAGCUUCUUGUGAUGUUGUAUUACCGAGUGGGCCCAGAGACACCUCUCAGUCAUACGGAGUGACAUAUCUAGUCUUGAUCCAUGCCAACUCAAUAGACACCCUUAGAGAUACCUGUAGAUCAUCUUUAUAGUCACCCAGUUAUGUUGCAACAUUUGAUACACACAAGGUACUCCUCCGGUGUCAGUGAGUUACAUGAUCUCAUGGUCAUAGGAAUAGAUACUUCACAUGCAGAAAACAAUAGAAAUAAACUGACAUGAUCAUAUGCUACGUUCAUAGUUUGGGUCUUGUCCAUCACAUCAUUCUACUAAUGAUGUGACCCCAUUAUCAAAUGAUAAGUCAUGUCUAUGGCUAGGAAACCUUAGCCCUCUUUGAUCAACGAACUAGUCUAGUAGAAUGUCACCAGGGACACAUGUUGUCUAUGUAUCCACACAUGUAUUUGAGUUUCCAAUCAAUAAAAUUAUAGCAUGGAUAAUAAACGAUUAUCAUGAACAAGGAAAUAUGAUAAUAACUAAUUUAUUAUUGUCUCUAGGGCAUAUCGCCAACAGCUGGAUGACGGCGGUCUCCCUCAGGGUCAAGGCUGCCCCGUGCUAGAGGCCGUGAAAGGCGUGCGCGACACCCAUGGUUGUGCUUUCUCAAGGUUCCGCCGCCGCCUCGACUGGGGUUAAGGACCCCUCAAGCCCCGCUAGGACAGGUGCCAAAGAAGAAGUUUCACCGGCCGGAGGACCACCGAGGGGCGCCCCCGGUGUAGCGCUCAUGGGCCUCUUAGACGCAGACACCCUAAAGAACACGGUAAUGGAAUCGUCAUGUCACGCAGGAUACGCGAGGGUAGGCGAUGACAACGGCGCACUUACCCAUCGCUGGUGUCCCGGCGCCAGCGAGCUGGGACUGACCUUGGGGGCCGAACCUCGCCGCCCCAAAGGAAUGACGGCAGUGUUGAGAUCCCUGCCCGUGAUUCGCUGCUCGUAGUACUCCGUUGGACGUCAUGGAAAGAGAGAAAGUUGAGUUCACUCAAGGACGGAGGGGGAUCAGAGGUGUUUCCAGCCCCCGGGUGCGCUGGUUUUUAUAAGCGCAGCCACCAUUCCAAAGGCUGCGCAUGGGGGCGCUGGCAAUGAGUGCACCAUUGGACGCCGCGUGCCAUGCCUAGUCCAUGGGCAGUGGGGUCUCGUGCCUCUCGACUCUACCAAUGAGCUGCCCCAUGCAGGUCGUAGGCCUGGGGCGAUCCAGCACGAGACGGGUGGCGCAAAUAGGCACCGUGUACUAACGGAGCAAUGAUGACCAUCGCUGCACACAGGCGGCACGACAACUCGCUUGGAGUAGUUCCCGAAGUGUUGUGGGAAGGAAGGAUCCCACAUCGUGUCACGUGCCAUGCGUCGAGCCUGGCCCACAGGCGAUUGGGGCCCACGUCGCCUUGCCCCUCCCGUUGGGAGGAGUGGUGCUCAACGCGGGCCCCAGGGCUACUGUUGGGGCCCUGGGAUUGGGGAUACCCAGGCCCGUCAGCCUGCGGCCGCAGGCGGGACGCGGCGAGAUAAGCCUGGUUCGGCCCAUCGGUGAGCCCGACAAGGAGAAGCCUCGCGAGGGCAUGUGCCUCGCGAGGCGAGCGCUUGAAGAUUGUCAGCCAGGGCCUCGGGAAGGCGUCCAUCGUGAGGUUUUGCCAUGAGACCCCCGUGGAGCAAGGCCGCCGAGGGAAACUUGGUCGGGUCCCAUGACCCAGCUCCUUCAUGUGGAUAAGUGAUGACCCACAAGUAUAUGGGGUCAAUUGUAGACUUUUCAAUAAGUAAGAGUGUCGAAUCCAACGAGGAGGAGAAGGAAAUAAGAAGUGGUUUUCAGCAAGGUAAUGUUUGCAAGUGCUAAAAUUGUAAGUAGUGGAGUAGUUUGAUAGCAAGAUAAUUUGUAACGAGCAAAUAACGAAAGUAGUAACAAAAGUGCAGCAAGGUAUCCCAAUCCUUUUGAGGCAGAGGACAGGCCAAAACGGUCUCUUAUGAUAAGCAAAGUGUUCUUGAGGGUACACGGGAAUUUCAUCUAGUCACUUUCAUCAUGUUAGCUUAAUUCGUGUUCACUACUUUGAUAAUUUAGUAUGUGGGUCGACCGGUGCUUAGGUGUUGUUCUUACUUGAACAAACUCCUACUUAUGAUUAACCCUCUCACAAGCAUCAACAACUACGAGAAAAGUAUUAAGAAUAAAUUCUAACCAUAGCAUUAAACUUUUGGAUCCAAUUGGUCCCUUAUAGAAUAGUGCAUAAACUAGGGUUUAAGCUUCUGUCAUUCUCGCAACCCAUCAUCUAAUAACUACUCCACAAUAUAUUCUCUUAGGCGCAAAUAUGGUGAAGUGUUAUGUAGUCGACGUUCACAUGACACCACUAAGGGAAUCACAACGUACAUAUCAUCAAAAUAUCGAACACAUAUCAAGUUCACAUGAUUACUUGCAACAUGAUUUCUCCCGUGACCUCAAGAACCAAAGUAACUACUCACAAAUGAUAAUCAUGCUAAAGAUCAAAAGGGUAUUAAAUAGAAUAAUGGGUGUGAACAUAUAAUCUUCCACCAAAUAAACCAUAUAGUAAUCGACUACAAGAUGUAAUCAACACUACUAGUCACCCACACUACUGGAAAAACCUAAUUUGCCGACAGCUUUUGGCUUUGCCGUCAGCAUUUUCACGGGGCUGACGGCAUAGAGGCUUUACCCUCAGCCGAAAUUAAUGCUGACGGCAUAGGCACGGAAGACGGCAUAUAAACUCUAUGCCGUCCGCUCUAUCUAAGCCAUCAGCCAGCUGACGGCAAAGCAGCAAAAGACUGACGACAUAGGGCGGCUAACGGCAUAGAGAGGUUCUCGGUCCCAUGUUCGACCACGGCUUAACGGGAGCCGUCUAUGCUGACAGCCAGCUGAGGCAAAGCCUAACGACUGUCUUUCCCGACACCCAGCUGACGGCAUAGCCGGGUAGUUAUCCCCCCGUGCAGGCCACGACCUAACCCUCUUCUCUCUCACCUCUCCCACCCAUCUGCUUCNNNNNNNNNNNNNNNNNNNNNNNNNNNNNNNNNNNNNNNNNNNNNNNNNNNNNNNNNNNNNNNNNNNNNNNNNNNNNNNNNNNNNNNNNNNNNNNNNNNNNNNNNNNNNNNNNNNNNNNNNNNNNNNGCCCCGUGCCAGCCCCGCCCCGACUCGCCGGUGAGCUCCUCCUCCCCUUUUUUUUGAGUUUAUUUUUUCUAUGUUAGUUAGAUUUGUUAGUAGUGGAUUUUUAGUUAAAUUUAGUUAGCAAUUACUUAGUGGUAGAUUUUUAGUUAGAUUUAGUUAGCAAUAGAUGUUAGUACAUGUAAGUAUUAGUUAGCUAGCUGUUAGUAUUAGUUAGCUAGCUGUUAGUAUUAGUUAGCUAGCUGUUAGCAAUAGAAAGAAAAUAAUAAGAAGAAAAGAAAUAGAAGAAGAGAAGAGUAACAAAACUUGAAUAAUAAAUUAUUAAUAAUAGAUGUUAGUAUUAGUUAGCUUAAUUACCGCGAGUGCAUAUUUGUGUUGAUUGAGUGCAUUUAAAUGUGCAGUAGCUUAUCCGCGAGGGUUUGGUUUUCGACGACCUCCCCUGCAUUCGAAAGUGAGCACAUUUAUUAACUCCUGCUCCACCCCCUUUAUUUUGCUCUGUUCCGGCCUUCGUGCUUAUGACACUAUCUAGCUAGGUAUUUUUAGUAUUAAAAUGCACAGUUGUUGCGUAACCAAUAUGCGUCUCCCGUUCGAGAGGGUUCCUGUCAUAAAUAUGCAUGCAUUUGCAUAUUUAUAACGGUGAUUCUUUCGAAUUGUCCAACGUUAUCCAUGGACAGCCCGGGUAUGUGUAGAUUGGGUCGUUUCCCACGCUUUGCUCCUGAUCCCAUGCAGAGUUUCGACAGCUCCUCCUUGUUGUUCUCCGGGUACACAUCCUCUCGGUUAGUUGCCGAUACGUGUAUCAGGAGAACAACGGGGAGGUGCUGCCAAAAAUUUGCGUUGAGUCGGGAGCAGAGCAUGGGGAAAUGACCCAAUCUACACAUACUCAGGUGGGAUUAGGACCCAUCUUUACCUAGUAGCUGGUAGGUGUGCAUGCCGUGCAUCCCAAUGUAUUAACCAUGAUUAAAAAAUGGCCAUAAUUAAUUUAACAUUCUGGAUGAACUGAUAAUUUAUAUUUUUUUAUAUGUGGAUACUAUGUAGCUAGCUUGCCAGAAUGACUGAUCGUGAAUGGAUGUACACCGUUCACCAUAGUCAGAGAGAUAUGACCGAUGAAUGGUUGAGCAAAACCUAUGAAUUCAUGGAAAUGGCAUUUUCUAAAGGCGAGCCAAAAACAUGGUGCCCCUGCACUAAGUGCAAGAAUUAUUCGCGACAGACAAAGGAUGUAAUGGGUAAACACCUGCAGAUGCGUGGUUUUACUCCCGGCUAUACCUUGUGGACAUUUCAUGGUGAGUCGGCCCAACUUAACAGAGACGAGGUGUUGCGUCGGCGCACCGAUGAUUAUGGUACAGGGAUUGAAGACAUGGUGAAUGACUUUGAUGAUGCUCGGAAUAAGGACGAAGAGAUGGAGGAAUCCGCGAAAGCCUUGUAUGCCAUGUUGGAGUCUUCAAAACGUCCUCUUCAUGAGCACACUAAGAUUUCUCAGCUAGAUGCCAUCGCACAAGUAAUGGCUCUAAAAGCCCAAUUCAACAUUGGAAGAGACCUGUUUGACUCAGUGAUGACCCUAUUUGGGCGCUUUCUACCCGAAGGUCAUAUUAUGCCUUCAAACCUAUAUGAGUCAGACAAAAUCCUUAGUGCACACAAGAUGCCGUAUGAGCAGAUACAUGCUUGUGAGAAAGGAUGUGGCUUAUUUAGGAAAGAGUAUGUAGAAGAAACAUAUUGUCCAUUUUGCAAGUCCUCCAGAUAUGUUGAGGUAGAAAAGGGUGAAGGUGAGAAGAAGCAGAGAAAAAUCCCCGUGAGUGUCCUAUGGUAUCUGCCGAUCCUACCAAGACUUCAACGACUUUACAUGCUCGAAGAAACAACAAAAAAGAUGACAUGGCACAAACAUGGAAUUAGGAAAGAAUUAGAUGAACACGGAGUUCCGAUGUUGGUACACCCUUCAGAUGGUGACGCAUGGAAGGCAUUCGAUAGUAUACAUAAGGAAAAAGCUAAAGAACCAAGGAAUUGUUGAAUCGCCAUCAGCCUCGAUGGGUUCAAUCCUUUUGGUAUGACGGCUACCCAAUAUAGUUGCUGGCCUGUGUUUGUCAUUCCCCUCAAUCUUCCACCAUCAUCCAUUAUGCAAAGAGAGCACAUAUUUCGGACGUUGAUAGUUCGAGGGCCAAACUACCCCGGGAGGAAUAUGAGUGUGUACAUGCAUCCGCUGAUGGAUGACUUGAAAGAAGCUUGGGUGAAUGGGGUCAACACAUACGACGCAGCUAAGAAAGAGAACUUUCAAAUGUAUGUUUUGUACCAAUACUCGUUGCAUGAUCUGCUGGCAUUUGCGCUUUUCGUUGCCUGGUGUGUGCAUUGAAGGUUCCCAUGCCCACAAUGCAAGGAGGCUCUUAAGUUUCAUUGGUUGCCGGCGGGUGGGAAGUAUUCCUGCUUUGACUUGCAGAGACAGUUCUUGCCUAUGGACCAUCCAUUCAGAAAAGACAAGAAGAAUUUCAUGAAAGGUAAAGUUGUCAAACACUCAGCACCACCUGCGUUGACGGGGGCACAAAUUAAUUAACAGUUAAAAUCUAUGGAGCCUGAUCCAAACCGUCCAGGGUAUUUCUUGGGUUAUAAUGAGGAACACGCGUGGAACCACAUGCCAUGCAUCUGGUAUCUCCCUUACUUCGAAGACCUCUUACUUCCACACAACAUUGACAUGAUGCACACUGAAAAGAAUAUCGCCGAGGCCCUUCUUGGCACAUUUUUCGGCACUGAUAAGGGCAAAUAUAAUACAAAGGCUAGAGUUGACCAGGAGACUCUAUGUGAUAGGCCAUCACUAAACAUGCGAGAACCGAAAGGAAGAAAAAAUUGGUCCAAACCACCUGCCUGGUAAAAUCUUGAGAAGGGAGCAAUAAGGGAAAUCCUCUUGUGGGUGCAAAAAAGUUGUUGUUCCCCGAUGGGUAUGCUGCGAAUCUAGCAAGGGGAGCGAGCAUUGAAAAAAUGAAAAAAAUUGGGCUCAAGAGUCAUGAUUGGCACAUAUGGCUUCAGCGGAUAAUGCCGGUGAUGUUGCGCGGCUAUAUCCCCAAGGCUGAAUGGCUAGUAUUGGCCAAGUUGAGCUAUUUCUUCCGUGUUCUUUGUGCUAGAGAGUUGGCGCGUGCCUUGAUAGAUGACAUGGAAGAGUUCGCGCCUGAGUUUCUCUGGAAGUUAGAGAAGAUUUUUCCAUCGGGCUUCUUUAAUCCGAUGCAACACAUGAUUUUGCAUCUCCCAACCGAGGCAAGAUUGGGUGGCCCUCUGCAAAAUCGUUGGUGCUAUGCAACUGAAAGAAUGCAGAAGACACUUCAAGGAAAAUGUAAAAAUAAACGUAUAAUUCAAGCAUCGAUGGCCGAGGCGUUCAUUACCGAGGAGGCCGCAAACUUCGUAACAGCACACUAUGAUGCCACUAUGUACAACUUGCAUAAUCCAAAGCCUCGGUACAAUCUGGGCGACCCCAAACGACAUGAAUCCAAUCUUAGCCUCUUCAAAGGGAAGCUCGCACCUUCUGGUGUGGGAAAACCAAAGUUGUUGUGCGUCGAGGAGUGGUGCACACUAACGAUGUAUAUAUUGAACAACUUAACAGAAGUUCGGCCAUACAUCGAGUAAGUGCUCUGUACAUUGUUUUGCAACUUUUAACAAGUUUUGUGUCUAACAACUAUUAUUAAUUGAUACAGUCGAUACGUCGAACAAUUCUCAAAUGAUGUUGCAAUCGAAAAAGAAUCCAUUCUCGAGUAUGAACUUCUUGAAAAGACAGGAGGCGGUUAUCCCGGUUUAUCUCUUGGUUCAAAAAAACGGUACCUCCCUUAUAUAUAAUACGUGUUUUCCUUUGUUGCUAUUACUCAUGAGUAACACACCAAAUUCUAUCUUUUCUUAACUUCUAGGCUAAUUCAGAUGAGCAAGUCGACGAUGAAUUGAGACAAAUAGCUAAUGGUUUUGACUUUAAGGUCCGUACAUUUCAGAAGUACGACAUCAACCGGUAUCGCUUUCGUACUGCUAGCAAAGAGCUUUCAAUGCUCGGUCGAAGAACAAACAAUUCCGGUGUCUCUGCUAUAGGCGAGGGAGGUGUCGAGUAUUAUGGAAGACUUGAAGAAGUCUACGAACUUCAUUAUUAUGGUGAAAAUCCUUCGAACGUUGUUGUGUUCAAAUGUCAUUGGUUCGAUCCUACUAAGACAAGACGGACUCAUGAACAUCUUGGGAUUGUUGAAAUUCGACAAGACAGGAAGUUAAGCGGUGCCGAUGUCUAUAUUGUGGCUCAGUAGGCCACCCAAGUUUUCUAUCUGCCAUACUGUCGUCAAAGUGUUAAGAACCUGGAAGGUUGGUAUGUCGUGUUCGAUGUGCCGCCACAUCUUAGACCACCUCCCCCAAAUGAAGACGAUUAUGAACCUCAAAUUGACCUAAUAACAUAUGAUGGAGAAUUCUUCCAAGAAUCACGUGGCGUGAGACGUCAUACCCGAAACUGCUCUACGUCCACCCUGAACACGGAGGAACAAGACUAACGUGAUGAUGAGGAAGAAGUGGAAGUAGAAGAAGUUACCAAUGCCGAUGAGCUAUCAAUGCUUGAUCGGUUACAAAAAGGCCUUCCACAUGAUGUCCCUGAACCCGAUGACGAUAUCAGUCAUGACGACACGUGUGAUACUGAUGAUGAUUUUGCUUCAAUUGACCAUGGAGAAGAGACAGAUGAUCCAGACUAUUAGUACUUUGUAUGCAUCCAAACAUUGUUGUUUAAUUAUUAAAUUAUUAGUUGAAUUAUUCAUGUAUUUAUUAUUGUUCGUUUAAUUAUUGUCCUUGAAUUUGUACUAAUUAUUUAACUAUUUAUCGUUACAGGUGGUGAGACAUGGCAGACGGGGAUAAGUUGAGGAUAGCACCUGGGCAGGUAUGGAGAAAAUUGUUGCAGAGCUUUGCCGAGGAGCCCCGUGGGAGAGAUGGAGGAAAGAAGAGAGGCAGAGGACGUGGUCGUGGGAGAGGGAGGCUGUAUGAUAGGAGCCAGUCGCCACCACCCUCGGCUACUUCUGUCUCAGCCACUUCACCCUUGCAGACCAGGGUGUCACCGGUGCGGGAUCCUCCCGUCCAGGAGGAGACACCAAAGCAGGGGGCUGAGCCGGAGACUGAGGUGGAGGCUGAGGAGGAGGCUGAGGCGGAGGGUGCUGAGGCGGAGGCUGAGGCGGAGGGGUGUGAGGCGGAGGCUGAGGGGGCUGCCAGCAAGUCGGUCUACCAAUGUGGUAUGACACGAGUUCCAGACCGAUUGGAGUUGCAGCACAGGGUGUUCAUUAAGCCAGAUGGCGAGAAGUAAGUUGAUAUAUAUUGUGUACCUUAUAUCAUUAUAUUUCACCAAGUAGCUAAUGUCUUUGCCUUAUCAUUAUGUAGGGGGUGGGAUUACCCGAAGAAUACCCGGAAUCCAAACUGCCUCUUUGGUGCUUUACUUAGGGAGCACUUCCCCGCGAUAGUGCAGUUGCCCGGUGAGGGUAUGGUUCCCGAGCCAGGACUCAAGUGGGAGCACUACCAAGCCGCUCUGCUCCCAGAAAACACACAUGUCAAUGGUGUUGUUUGCGUGAGGUUUUGGCUGAUUUUUGGGUAACUAUUAUUUUACCCAAUAAAAAUUAUACAAUGUUAUAUAUUUUUAUUUCCUUCCAAAUCAUUUCACUAUUCAUCUGUGCAUCUAUUUGGCAUAAUUGUAGAGUUACUUUAGGGUCGAGGAGGGAACGGAGGAGGCGUCCAAGAAGAACCUCGUGAAAGAGUGCAAGAGUUUAUUGAAUACCACGAGGCACGAGCUGCGUGUUCAGGCUGUUCGAGAUUGGUACGCCAAGCAAGGGGAGCCGAAGACAAAGACUGAAUGUCGAAAGAUUUACCUUGAUAAGACCGAGUACAUGGAGGUAUGUACAUUCCAAAGAUCAAUUCUUAGGUCUAGUUAGGUCUAUUUAGUUAUAAUACUUAGUUUCAUUCUUCAUUAACUUACAUUCAUAGGUGCCCCCGAGAUGGUUGGCCGAUAAGAUGGAUUGUUGGGAGAUGAUAGUGGACAGGUGGUGCACAGAGGCUUGGUUGAGCACCCACACUAUGGCCAAGGACUGUCAUGCCCAUUUGGUUGGUGUGCCACACCACCAAGGCAAUGCCAACAUCAAGCAAUACGCCAAAAAAUGAGUAUGUGUGCCUUUUUUUGUUUCAUCAAUAAUUCAUUCGUUCAUGAUUUUUGUUGUACUAAUUCUUUAUCUUUUCGUGUAGGCCAAACACAAUAACCAGCCCGAGCCUCAGGGAUACGCCGCGUUUAGCAUGGCCCAUAAGGGCUCAUACAAGACGGCGAAGGAAUAUUCUGAGGGGGACAGGGCGUCGUCAUACACAAGCAUGUCCACCUACAACAAGAUGACGUCUUAUUCUGAGGUGGUCAAAUAGCUGCGCGGGCCUGACUUUGACCCGAGCCAGAAUCCUAUCGAUCCAGAGGCGUUGAUGAUCUCUGGUGGCAGUAAGAGUCAUGGCACGCUCGCCAUGUGUGAUCGCUUCGUCCCUAUCACUGAGACUCUAUCUCAGAUCAAGGUGAGGCAAACGAUCUCCGCUCCUGUAAUACGGCAACGCGUGAGGCCAGUUGAUCUUGCCAUCGAGGUUAGUUUUCUUCAUUGUUUUUUUCGUUCUUUUGUCCCUGGAUGGAUGAUAAAAAUUCCUUUUGAGGAGUGGUUGCAGGCCGCACUUAUGAAGGAGAGGGAGGCCACCAGGCUCUUGUUGGAGGAGAGGGACCGGAAUACGCAGAGGUUGCUUGAGGAGGAGAGGGCACGCAAUAAUGCCCAUGCGAAGGCCAUGCACGACUUCCUCGCGGUAAGUCAGUUGUGUGAGAAGCAAGGCUAUGUGUGAGACGCAACAUGGCUAUUUCUUUGACUCCUCGAAAACUAAUUUGCAGGCUAUGUGUGAGAAGCAAGGUUUGCCGCCCCCUUCGCCGAUGCCUUCUCCGGUGGGAAUGGUGAGUUCCCUUUCAAUGACCAACCUUGCACGGUCUUAUACCAUUGUCUCUCGCCAUGCUAACCACAUAUCUUUACUCUUGCCUUGUUGCAGCAUCAUUCCAGAGUUGAAUCCCACGAUCCCUUUACUUCUCCUGGUGAGAGCCCUAGCAACCCAGCGACCAACGGAGAUGCAGCUUCUCCUAAGUCUCUUGGCAUUCGGUAAGUUAUUCCUCUCCUUCUUAUUCUUCUUAUUGUUUAGAUCAACUUAGAUUAUGCCAUGGUUUAGUUAGCUUAGUAAAUUCUAGUUGAUAUUAGCCAUGCUUUAGUUAGCUUAGUAAAUUAUAGUUGAUAUUAGAGCUCAAAAAUUACAUAAUUAGUUUAGAAAGUUUUAAAAGAAACCAGAAGAUAAGAACAAACAAGAGAUGAAGAAAUAAGAGAAGAAGAAAGAGGAGAAAAAGAUAACUUCUUCUUCUUCUUCUUCCACUUCGUCUUCUUGUUCUUCUUGUUCUUAUUCUUCUUCUUCCACUUCUUCUUCUAAUUGCUUAGCUUAAUUUAGAUAACUUCUUUCUUAUUGUAUUCUUAUUCUAACUUCUUUCUCAUUAUGCAGAUUUUGAUAAAGCAGCAUGGCAUAUGGAUGGAUGCUCUAGGGACUUUGUAAUGCACUUGUGUAGUCUUAGAUGAACUUUGUAAUGCACUUGUAUGUGUGGAUGCACUUGUGAUGCUUUGUAAUACUUUGUGAUCUUGUUUGCACUUUAAUUACAUAUAUUCGUGUUGUUUGCACUUUGUGAUGCACUUGUGUUGUGCUGUUUGCACUUUGUGAUGCACUUGUGGUGCUGUUUAGGGGCUGGGCAAAAAUAUAUAUGUUGCUGUUUGUAUCUAUGAUUUGCAAAUGCAGGGAAUUAACAAAAAAUGAAUAUGAAAAAAAGCAAAGAGGGUCUUUGCCUAUAGCUUACUGACGGCAACGGCUUUGCCGUCGGUGGACUGACGGCAAAGAAGACACGUGGCGGCAGCGUGUGUAUCCUGGCAACUCAGGGAAUACCUAAUUUUCCCAGAUUUUCGGCUUUGCCGUCAGCUGUGCUCCAGCUGCCGACAAAGAGGGGACCAAGGGGACCCAGGUUUUCGGCGUUGCCGUCAGCUUUGCUAUGGCUGUGGGCAAAGAGGGGACCCAGGGGACCCAGGGUUUCGGCUUUGCCGUCAGCUUUGCUACGACUGUGGGCAAAGCCUGCCGUUAACCUUCUAACGGGGCUCGGCCUGCGCCGUUGCCGCCAUUGCUCUUUGCCGUCAGCCCGUGCCACAAAGCUGAUGGCAAAGUCUUUGCCGUCGAUCGACCUUCAGCUGACGGCGAAGAAGGUGAUUGCCGAUAAAAUCUUGGCCGGUUCCUUUGCCAACAGCACACUGACGGCAAAGCCUUUGCCGUCCGUUAAACUGUCCGUUGUCGUCAGCUCUAGCUGUCGGGAAACCAGCAGAUUCCAGUAGUGCCACAAGCACCAAACUAUAGUUCCGGUACAAAGAUUGAAAACAAGAGAUGAACUAGGGUUUGAGAGGAGUUGGUGCUGUUGAAGAUGUUGAUGAACAUAGCCCUCCCCAAGAUGGGAGAGUUGUUGGUGAUGAUGAUGACGAUGAUUUCCCCCUCCGGGAGGGAAGUUCCCCGAGUGGAAUCGCUCUGUCGGAGGGCAAAUGUGCUCCUUCCCAAGUUCCGCCUCGAGACGGCGGCGCUUCGUCCCGAAAGUCCUCUCCUCCUUUUUUAUUCUAGGUCAAAAUGACUUAUAUACCUAAAGAGGGGCACCAGAGGUGGGUCUGGGUGAGCACAUCCACCGGGGCGCGCCUGGGAUCCCUGGCUCGCCCAUGUGGGUUAUGCCCACCUGGUGGGCCCCCUCUGGUACUUAUUUGCUCCAAUAUUCCUCAAAUAUUCUAUAAACAUUCCUCGUAAAGUUUCAACUCAUUUGGAGUUGUGCAGAAUUGGUAGAGUGACGUAGCUUUUUCAGGUCCAAAUUUCCAGCUGCCAGAAUUCUCCCCCUUUGUGUAUACCUUGCAUAUGAUGCGAGAAAAGGCAUUAGAAUAACUCCAAAAGGCAUUUUUAUACAAUAAAACAACAUAAAGAACAGUAGGAAAAAAUGAUGCAAAAUGGACCUAUCAACUUCCCCAAGCUUAGACCUCGCUUGUCCUCAAGCAAAAACCAAAAUCGAAAACAUGUCCACAUGCUUAUAGAGAGAGAGGUGUCGAUAAAAACAAAAAUACGGACAUAGCCGCUUCAUGUAACUUAUUAUAACUGAAAGUGCGUUAUAUCGACUAGAGGGGGGGUGAAUAGGAGAUUUUUAGAAUUUCAACACUAAGGAAAUUCCUUUUGAGGAAAUUCGUCACUGAUGACUAACUUGCAGCGGAAACAACAAAGGAUCAGGAGUGCAAAGUAUCACCACAACAGUUUUCAAGGUGAAGAAUAUGAAAAGUAGUUUGCACAGUAUGUAGGCAUAGAGAGCACAGGUGAAGAAUAACUCGCGUGAAGAAUUUGGGGUUGAGGUAUUUCAGAGAAAGUCUUCAGCAAAUUCUUCAAACAGUGACAAUUAAAAUCUUCAACAUAAAAUAUGAGGAAUUUAAAGAGUUGAAGAAAUAGAACCCGCUUCACAGUGAAGACAAUGGUUGAUGACCCAGUUCCAACUGUUGUGACAGUUGUACAUCUGGUUUGGAGCGGCUUGGUAUUGAAACCAAAAGACACACAGUCCCGAGAAACAUAGUCCCCACCGUAUUCUCCUUGGGCUAAUAACACACAGUCCUCGCCCAACACUCCUGGUAAGUCUUCGAGGCAGACUUCGAAACCCUCACAAACUUGGUCACCUGGUAAUCCACAAUUGACUGCUGGAUUUGUGUAGACCAUGACGCCUAACCGCCUAGAGGAUGCAUAGUCCUCAAAGGUAAAAGGCUCCAGUCCCACACAGGAACAACUUCUUCAGUGAUGCUCAAUCACUUGGUUUUCGGUUUAUGGUUUGGUGUUUGGGGUAUUUCCUCACUCAUGAAUUACUCUCGAAGACUUUGGGGAAUUUGGGUUGCUCUUAUGACAAGUGUCAGUUUCUAACGGAGCAGCCAACCCGCUAAUGGUUGUGGGGGGCGGCUAUUUAUAGCCUGGGAGCAUUCCAACAUCAUUUCACAUUAAUGCCCUUAAAUAAUAUGACCGUUGGUGUGGAUAAUAUUAGUGAUGUGGCACGAAUUACGGCAAUGGUCGGGACCCUCACUGUGAGAGUCCUCAUGUCUCUCAUCUUCCUCACUUGAGGCUUUUGGUAGGAUUAGGCUUGGGUUGAGCAUCAUGAGGAAAUUCAUCCCGACAUGUUACUUUGACCCCCUUUAAUAGUACGGUGUUCCUAUGACUCAAAAGAAAAUAAAACAGACAGAAUAAAUAUUCAUGCUUCAAAGUCUUCAGAUUGAUUUUCUUCAGGACGCACCGAAUUCCUCAUUUUCAAUAUCUUCAUGAGGAAUAUGAAUUGCAUCGCAAUUUUUUCGCGAUUCAGUUCUUCAGCUUCAGACCAAUUUCUUCAGCCAAAGAUAUACAUUUUUAGGGGCCGAUAUUCAUCGAAUAUUUCAAACUUCUCAAUGACUUCUAGAUCCUGUGUACACUCAUGAACACAUUAGAUACUUAACCUAUAAGUCUUCAAACCACCAAAAUCACUAAGGGGCACUAGAUGCACUUACAAUCUCCCCCUUUUAGGUGGUUGAUGACAAUUAGGUUAAGCUUCAACGGGGAUAAAAAUAUGAAGUGUAAAUACUCAUUUGAGGAAUUUGAAAUCAAGAUUCAGAGAGACUCCCCCUAAAGAUGUGCAUAUCUUGAGGAUUGUGCUUUUUACAGCAGAUGCACAUUAAUGAUUUAUAUCAUGGAGAUCUCCCCCUGAGUCUUGUAAAUCAUGCAUACAUACGACAUAUAGUAUGAAGAAAUUGGAAUGCAUGAUGAGAAAUGGUAUCUGAAGAAUUCUAGCAUGCGUGCAUUAAUAUUUUGAGGAAUAAGCAUGCGAAGAAAAAUGUUCAAAAGCGUCAGAGUACCAUCGGGCUUAAGUUACAACUCAUUACAUAAAACACUUCAGAAGAGCCAAGAGUUUGUAACUUAAUAAAGUUUAUAAGCCCUCAAAAUAUAUCCCGCGUGAAGACUAACUCUUAGAUUUCUCCCCCUUUGUCAUCAAGUGACGAAAAGGGACAAAGCCGAGGACUAACGUCCCGUGAAGACUUGCACUUCUUGGUAGUUGAGUAAGACACGUGAGGAUUUUUGGGAGCAGGCUUCCUCCUUGGACCAGUGGCAGUGUCUUGUUGGUCUUCAUCUGAUUCUGCAGUGCGGAAUGAAGAAAAAGAACUGUCCUCAAGGUCUGGAACUGGAAUUGGCCUGAAUUUCUUCUUUGGUGGCCAUGACCAGUCGAAGUCCUGUGCAAACUCCAAUUCUUCAAGUUCUGCUAGAGUCUUCAAAUGAGUCAGUGUGGCCCAGGUGCGAUCAAAAACCUCAUGAAGAUAAUGAUCAUUAAGCUUCACUUCAUUCUGAGUCUCAUUGAGGGUUUUCAAAAUGGCGCCAAACUGGCGUUUGACCCACUUGUGAUUUCGAUCUACCUUUUGAUGAAGACUAAGGAGAAGCUCUCUGGUAUUCAUCACCCUUGGAGCAACAGGACUUGGCGGCUGGGUUUCAGUAUCAUCCCAUGAAUAAUAUGCAUCUGACUCACAAAACUGGCCUUCAAGGGGCUGACUGCCUUCAUCAAUCACAGACUUGCCUUUUCCUUCAACUCGCUCUAAAGUCUUCAUGUUGACCCUGAUUGGAGGCAUAUAGCCAAUGUGAUUGUUGAAAUCAGCAUGAUAGUUGAUGCCUCACCCGUGUCUGAUGAAUCUCAUGAUCCAUGGAGCGUAAAUCUUCAGGUCAAAAGGGGACAUAGCAUUUUCCGCGAGAGUCCUCAAGAAGAAAUCGUGAAUGUUUACGGGAAUGCCAUGGAUGAUGUUGAAGAGGAUAUUCUUCAUGAUGCCUACGACAUCUUCUUCAUCAUCAUGGCCCUUGAUUGGCGCAAGAACACUUCAGAGGAUUCUGUAAAUAGUCAUGGGUUCAUACUUCAGCUCAUGGACCAGCAAGAUUGUUCUUGGUGGUUCCCACUUGGCCAAAGGCUUCAUAAGGACUUCCAUCAGCUUAUUGGGCACCUCCUGUUCAUCAUACAUCUUCACGGUCUGUUCUAAAGGAAUUGACAUAGGAAGUUCUCGCAGCAGCUCAUUUGCAGGGGCCUUGAACUGUGUGUGCUGCGUCAUCCAAUCCAGCACCCAAGUGUUGAUAUCUGUUGGAUCUCCAGAGAUAUGCAGAGUUGCAUAGAAUUGAAGAACGAUGCCGCUGUUCCAAUUGCAGAUAUCAGAGCACAGAGGGAGCAGUCCUGCUUCAUGAAGAACGUUGACGACUUGGGCAAUGCAAGGAAUUUCUUCAAGCUCAACAUGAGGAAUAUGUCUGUGCUGAUUUUUUUUCUACCACAAAGCACAGAUGCAUAAUAGUUGAGCUGAGUCCUGGUCCAAAACUUCAUGUGCCUGAUGCGAGGCUUGUCAUAAGGAUUUUCUCUCAUGAAAUACACGCGUUCUUCAAAGAGCGCUUCCUUCUGAAACUUUGGCCGCUUGGAGAAGGGCUGACACUACAUGGGCUGAAGGUUUUGCUUCUUCCCUUGAGGAGAGAUAAUCAUUGCAGUCUCCGGAUUGAUAACUACAAGAGCAUUCUGUGUAUUUGGCGCAGGGACAUUAUCUUCAGCAUGUUCCUCAGGAUGAGGAAUUUCAUCUGCCUGUGCCUCAGGUUGAGGAUCUUGCUCCGGGUGAGGAAUUUCAUCAACCUGAGCCUCUGGUUGAGGGUUUUGGUCAAGAGGAGCAAUCUCUUCAUCCCGAGCCUCGGGUUGAGGGUUUUGCUUAGGAUUUGGAUUUUCUUCAGGCUGAGGAUCUUCUCCUUGGUUUUCCUCAGCUUGAGGAGUUUGCUUGGUGGAGGAGCCAAAUUCUUCAGCUGGUGCAGCUGAUCCUUGAGCAGUUUCUUCAGGAGGAAUGAAUGUCUGAGGACUGUUAUCAAUUUGAAUUUCCUCAUCAGUGUGUUCCUCAGACUCAACAUUCUUCAUUUCCUCAUCGGUCAUAUGCUCCUUGUCUUCGCUUUCGAAGGGAGUCAUUUCAUAGAAUGGAGCAAUAUUGAGAGGCACAGGAUCCAACGGAGCAUUUUCAUCAAGAGAUUUGAGGCGAUUGGCCUCAAUUGAUUCUUCUGUGGAGGAAGCUUUUCUUUUCUUAGCUUCUUUUUCUACAGCUUGGUUUUCUUCACGUCUGAUGCAGACGGAGUCAUUUUCUUCACCUUUGAAGAUUUUGGUGAAGGAAUUUUCUAUUCAGGAGGCGGAGCCGUAUCCGUCCUAGCAGUUUCCUUAGCUGAAGCAAUUUCUUUAGCUGGAGCAGAGUCAUCAGCUGGCUCCGAAGCAUCAGCUGGAGCAGACUCAUCGGCUGGCUUAGAUGCAUUAGCUGGAAUUUCCUUGGUUAUUUCGUCAAUAGCCGGUUCAUCAGCACGACUUUCUUGAGGUAUUUCCUCAGCAGGGGUAGGUUGUUCUUCCUCAAUCUCAGGCUGCCGAGGUGUUCUUGGAGGGGCAGCCUUUUUGUUGUAAUCAUCAACUACAUUGGUAGAAAACUUGAUGAAGUUGUUCUUGAGACUUUGACGAUCAGAUAGCUUGGUGUACUUGUCAGUCAAAGUCUUCAAGUCUGCCUGAGUGGACACAAGUGCAUCAGGCGUCAAGCUGAGGAGAUUUUGUCUGAGGAAUUUCUCCUUUUUCAGCUUCACCAUGUGGCUGAUGCCUGGGGGAAGCUUCAAGUCAUCAAUAGGCGUGUUGGGGUCAUCAUACUAUACAUUGAUGUAGUCCAAAAGGACUUUUUGGUCCGUGGCCAGAGGAAUGGCGCUAUCUAAAGCUUGUGCAACCCUCUCCUCCUUGUUUCUGAUGAUUGCCUGCAAAGUUUUGGGGUUCCUCUCCCAGCAGUCACCUUAGUCUUCAUUGGAGUUGGUGAAGACUUUGUCUCUGAGCUCGUGCAGAAGGAAAAGAGGAGCUGGAAACAGUCGGCAGUUGCUUCACAAUCUGCUUGUGUUGAGGCUUUGAAGCCUUUGGUGGAGCUGUGGGUUUUGGUGCGGAUGCAGGUGCAGACUUCUGAAGCAAUUUAUACUGAGGCUUUGAAGCCUUUGGUUUUGGUGGCACAGACUUCACUUGAGGAAUGGCACUGCCAGAAGUUUCAGCUGCACAGGAGGUGGCUGCAGUAGCAGCAGAUUCUUCAUUAAAUUUCCUCAUGGCAGCUUCGGCCUGCUUCUGAAGCUUUGACAAGUGUUUUGUCUUUUCCUCAGGAUAGUCACCAAACGUCUUGAGGCUUGAAGAAUGGGCAUCCCGAAAAUCCACGAGAGGAGGCCGUUUACGAGGAUGCUUAAGAGCAAAUUUCUUCGCGUACUUUGGAGUGACGAAUUUGUAUUCUUUCCACUCCUUAGCCCACCGGCGUUCUAUCUUGUGAAGCCUUAUCUUCCUCUUGGGCAUUGUUUCUUGCUGAUCUGGUGUGCAGUAUUCCAGGUAUAUACCAUCAGGAAUAUCGAUGGCAGUGUUCUGUUCGAGCUUCUUGCCACCCUUUUGCUUCCUUUCAUCUUCCAUUUACUUCAGCUGAGGCUUUUGAUAAGGAAAUUGAACUCUUGAGGAUUCUGGUGACACUUGCAGAUUUUCUUCAAAAAACGCUUCAAAUGAGUUAAGUUGAUGAGAACCUAGAGAUUCAUCAGCUGAAAUUUUUGUGCCUAUGAACAAAGUAUGGUUGCGAGGAAUAUUGGAGAGGUUAUAUGCGUUCUCAGAUUUGAUGAAAUUGCAAAUUUUAAUAGUUGAGGAAUUUGACCAGUGGGGAAUUUGUCUAAGCACUCUAAUCUUGGGUUCCAGAGUUGUACAGAUUCGAAAAUUUGCACAAUGGAGGAAUCUCAUGAAGACUUCUAGAUGCUUAGUGAAAUUCAUCAACAGUUGAGGAAUAAGCAAUGUUUGAGGAAUAGAGAUUGAUAGACACUUGAGGAAAAACAGAUUUAACAAAUCUACUGUAAAAUAGUAGAUUGAAAGGGGCUGUAAAAAUAGGGUUUUAUUUACUCUAUAUAGCGUGCACGAAGAACAGAGGAAGAAGAAGCAGUAGAUGCUCUUCGGUGCGAGUCCACUGCACUCUAACUUGGCAACAGAGGACAACUACGGCGGCGGCGGACGAAGACGUUCCGGUUCCGGCGUGAUUUCGGCGACGGAGAGGUCGAGGCAGUAAAGCUUUUCCUCGCCGGCGACAAAACUUCUAGCGGUGCAACUAGGGAUUUGCUGUAGCAGAGAGAAGGUCGAGAGAGAGAACGAAGAUUUUUGACCGGAGGAGGUAAGGACAUAUUUAUAGCCCAGGUGAAAACUGUCCGGCCGAUUCUUUCGAACUGAACAACCCCUGCCCUUUCGUCUCCGCAUGACACGUGUAGCAACCGUUUAAAGCGGUGGAGAUCGUGCUUAUCUGAUCUUGGUAAGUGGGGUUCAGUUACUGUGUAAUGCUACGGCGACUGAAAUCCUUCUGUUGCCUCUUGAGCUUGCGUUGGUUUUUCCCUUAAAUAGGAAAGGGUGGUGCAGCACAGGAGCAGUAAGUAUUUUCCUCAGUUUGAGAACCAAGGUAUCAAUCCAGUAGGAGAAUCGUGCCAAGUCCAGAGUACUUGCGCUAACACAAAAGAGCUUGCACUCAACAACAUAAAGGGGUUGUCAAUCCCUUCAAGAUUGAUUGCAAAGUUAGAUCUGAAGGCGGAAAGUGCAAGGAAGUAAAAUUGCAUGGCUGAAAAUAUGGUGUGAAGUAGACCCGGGGGCCAUAGUGUUCACUAGAGGCUUCUCUCAAAAUAGCAAAUAAUAUGGUGGGUGAACAAAUUAUUGUCGAGCAAGUGAUAGAACCGCGCAAAUUCAUGACGUUAUCUAAGGCAAUGAUCAUACAUAUAGGCAUCACGUCCGAGACAAGUAGACCGAUACUUUUUGCAUCUACUACUAUUACUCCACACAUCGACCGCUAUCCAGCAUGCAUCUAGUGUAUUGAGUUCAUGACGAACAGAGUAACGCUUUAAGCAAGAUGACAUGAUGUAGAGAGAUAAACUCAAACCAAUGAUGAAAACUCCAUCUUUUUACCCUUGAUGGCAACAACACGAUGCAUGCCUAGCUACCCCUUCUGUCACUUGGUGAGGUCACCGCACGGUAUGAACCCAAAACCAAGCACUCCUCCCAUUGCAAGAAUCAUAGAUCAAGUUGGCCAAACAAAACCCACAACUCGAAGAGAAUUACAAGGAUAUGAAAUCAUGCAUAUAAGAGAUCAGAAGGAACUCAAAUAAGAUUCAUAGAUAAUCUGAUCAUAAAUCCAUAAUUCAUCAGAUCUCGACAAACACACCGCAAAAGAAGAUUACAUCGGAUAGAUCUCCAUGAAGAUCAUGGAGAACUUUGUAUUGAAGAUCCAAGAGAGAGAAGAAGCCAUCUAGCUACUAGCUAUGGACCCGAAGUUGUAUGGUGAACUACUGACGCAUCAUCGGAGAGGUCAUGGUGUUGAUGAAGAAGCCCUCCGUAUUCGAAUCCCCCCUCCGGAGGGCACCAGAACGUGCCCCAAAUGGAAUCUUGUGAAGACAGAAGCUUGCGGCGGCGGAAAAGUAUUUUCGUGGAUCCCUCUCGCAGUUUUGGAAUUUUUUUGAAUUUGUAGGCGGAAGAGGUAGGGCAGACAAGCCACAGGGGGCCGACAAGCCUGCUAGGCGCGGGGCCCCCUGGCCACGCCUAGGGGACUUGUGGGGUCCCCUAGUGGCCCCUGCCUUGGUUCUCAAGUCUCGUGCGUAUCUUCUGUUAGAAAAAAUCUUUUCGGAAGUUUUAUUCCGUUUGGACACCGUUUAAAAUCCUCCUCUGAAAAGGGUCAAAAACACGAAAAAAACAGGAACUGGCACUUGGCACUGAGUUAAUAAGUUAGUCCCAAAAAAGAUAUAAAAGGCAUACAAAACAUCCAAAGUUUGACAAGAUAAUAGGAUGGAACCAUGAAAAUUAUAGAUACGUUGGAGACGUAUCAAGCAUCCCGAAGCUUAACUCCUGCUCGUCCUCGAGUAGGGAAGUGGUAAAGACUGAAUUUUUGAUGUGGAAUGCUACCUAGACUAGUUGUCCUUUGUAACUACUUUCAUGUGACAUGAAUGUUCAGAUCCGUAAGAUUCAAAACAAUAGUUUGGUAUUGACAUGAAAACAAUAAUACUUCAAGCAAACUAGCAAGGUAAUCAUGAACUUUCGAUAUAACAAGGCCAAAGAAAGUUAUCCCUACAAAAUCAUAUAGUGUGGCUAUGCUCCAUCAUACUCACACAACUAAUUUAAAUCAUGCACAACCCCGGUAUUGGCCAAGUAAUUGUUUUUGCACUCUUACUUUCUCAAACCUUUUACAACUAUCACGCAAUACAUGAGCGUGAGCCAUGGAUAUAGCACUAUGGUGGAGUAGAGUGUGGUGGUGGUUGUGAGACAAAAAGGAGGAGAUGGUCACAUCGACUCUGCGUAUUAAAGGGCUAUGGAGAUGCCCAUUAAUAGAUAUCAAUGUGAAUGAGUAGGGAUUGCCAUACAAAGGAUGCACUAGAGCUAUAAGUAUGUAAAAGCUCAAAAGGAGAACUAGUGGGUCUGCAUCCAACUUGCUUGCUCACGAAGACCUAGGGCAAUUUUGAGGAAGCCCAUCAUUUGAACAUAUAAGCCAAGUUAUAUAAUAAAGAUUCCCACUAGUACAUGGUGGUGAAAAAACAAGAGGCUCUCAAUCAUGAAGAACAUGGUGCUAUUAUGAAGCACAAGUGUGGAAAAAGAUAGUAGCAUUGUCCCUUCUCUCUUUUUUAUUUGGGCUCUUUGGCCUCUUUUUUCAUGUGGGCAACUUUGGCCUCUUUUUUUUAUUUCCUCACAUGGGACAAUGCUCUAAUAAUGAUGAUCAUCACACUUUUAUUUACUCACAACUCAAAGCUUAGAACGAUUAUGACUCUAUAGGAAAUGCCUCCGGUAGUGUACCGGGAUGUGCAACGAUCUAGCUUGGCGUAUGGCAUUGAAACAUCUAGCUAGCUAUCUUAUGAUCAUGCAAUGGAAAUACGAGAGUGACGACACUAGUCAUGAGAUGAAACGGUGGGAGUUGCAUGGCAGUACAUCUCGGAAUGGCUAUGAAAAUGCCAUAGUAGGUAGGUAUGGUGGCUGUUUUGAGGAAGGCAUAUGGUGGGUUUGUGCACCGGCAAAAAUUGCGCGGUACUAGAGAGGCUAGCAAUGGUGGAAGGUGAAAGUGCAUCUAUACCAUGGACUCACAUUAGUCAUGAAAAACUCACAUACUUGUUGCGAAUGUUUUUAUUAGUAAUCGAAACAAAGUGCUAAAUGCAUACUCCUAGGGGAAGGGUUGGUAGGUGUUAACCAUCACGCGAUCCCGACCGCAACACAAAGGAUGACAAUCAAUAGAUUAAUUAUGCUCCGACGUCCUAACAUAGAGGUUCACCAUUCAUGCAUGUUACGUGAAUCACUAACUUCAACACAAGUAUUUCUAGAUUCACAUAACCCUACUAACAUAACUCGUAAUAUUACCAAAUCCACGUUUCAAAACUAACUGAGAGGAAUCAAACUUCUCUUUCUACUCAAUGCACAUGAAGAUGGAUGUUUUAUUGUAUCCUCUUUGGGUACCUAUCACCUUUGGGACUACUUUCAUAGCAUAAUCCAACUACCAAGUUAAGCACCGCCGUACUCUAAAAGAUCUAAGUCAAGCACAUAGAACAAAAUUGUCUAGCUCAAAAGGUAUAAGUGAAGCAGAAUGAGCAUUCUAGCAAAUUCACGAUGAGUGCACGUCUCUCUCAAAAGGUGUGCAGCAAGGAUGAUUGUGACACAACAAAAAUAAAAGACUCCUACGAUACAAGACGCUCCAAGCAAGACAUAUAUCAUGUGGUGAAUAAACAUAUAGCUCCAACUAAUGUUACCGAUGGAUUGAAGACGAAAGAGGGGAUGCCUUCCCGGGGCAACCCCAAGCUUAAGCUUUUUGGUGUCCUUGAAUUUGGCUUGGGAUGCCUUGGGAAUCCCCAAACUUGAGCUCUUUCUACUCUUUAUCCCUUUGUCCAUGAGAACAUCACCCAAAACUUGAAAACUUCACAACACAAAACAUUAACAGAAACUCGUGAUAUCAUUAGCACAAGAAAACAAACUACCACCUCUUGAGGUACUGUAGAAAUCUUUAUUUUUCUUUAUAUUGGUGUUAGAUUAAUGUAUUCUCACUUUUCCAUGGCUAGUACCCCCCGAUACUAUCCAUAGUUUCAUCAAAACAAGCAACCAACUCAACAAAAAUAGAAUCUGUCAAAAACAGACCAUUCUGUAGCAAUAUGUAUACUUCGUAUACUUCUGUUACCUCAAACAUUCUGAAAAAUUACAAAAGCCUGGGCAAACGGCAUAUCAACCAGCAGCCAAAAGAAUCAACUCAAAAGCUCUUUCUGAAUAAAAAUGAAAAAUAUUUUUGUGGGCGAAACAUUUCUGUAUUUUUCCAGCAGGAUCAAACAACCAUCACCAAACUAAUCAUAAAAGUUUUGCUUGGCUCAAACACAAAAAAGAAA
RNAcentral lists this long non-coding RNA (55607 nucleotides) under Hordeum vulgare. RNAcentral's name for it is "long non-coding RNA (HVUL_LNC004378)". Lineage: Eukaryota; Viridiplantae; Streptophyta; Magnoliopsida; Poales; Poaceae. The record is from RNAcentral.